This 47332-nucleotide long non-coding RNA is filed under the name Panicum hallii. Its description in RNAcentral is "long non-coding RNA (PHAL_LNC000473)". The record is from RNAcentral. Lineage: Eukaryota; Viridiplantae; Streptophyta; Magnoliopsida; Poales; Poaceae.
GGAGAGAGAGAGAGAGAGAGGUGAUCGAAACCUUUGUCCUGAAACGCUAAUCCUAAAUUGAUCUCGAAGAAGCUAUAAGCCCUCUUGGAAUGGCAAUGGAAGGGUGGUUAAUCAUUACUGCUAUGCGUGGUGUACCAUGAUAUCAGUUGGUUUUAGAAGGUGCAGCAAGCUAAGAUUUCAUGCAGCAAGCUAAGGAUUCGUCAAUACAUUGCACUCAAGAACAAAGAAGCCUAAACGAUGCAACUGUUUUUCUUUUACAUAAUCCUGAACAUUCUGAAAGAUGCGAUGUUUGCAAUAAAGAAAUCAAGUAAUGAGCUGAAAAUAACAAAACUAGGAUGCCUGCUCAGGCUUUAGAGGCCAUUAGUCAAAUGAAAUGGCACGGACAUCCCGUACCUGGCGAUUUGGGGCUUUCUUCAGGACCAAAGAGUGCAAUAUAUCUCUUUGUGUUCAUGAGCCUUUUCUGCUUCUUAGACGGCGUGGUGGCAGUCUGAGCGUCAUCUUCAGUUUUUCUUUUGGCGAUUGGGGCGGACGUUGAGGUUCCGUUAGAAUCUUGGUUCGACGGGGGAGAAGGUGAGCCGCUGGUAUUCCUAGCUCUGGCGGACUUUUUUGUUGAGUCUUUUGGCUUGUUUGGCGAGGAUGCGGAUAUGGGGGUAGCAAUGGCAGUGGCAUCCCUGGUGAGCCUUGUAGCAGAUCUGUGGGAGGAAGUCGUGGCGGGAAGAUGUUUAUAUUUGUUCUUGCCUCUGGUUUCCCGAGUAGACCUCCUGAGGUUUGGUGUCUGCGCAUUGGUUGCGGCGGCUGUGGUGCUCCUGGUCUCUCUGGCAUUGGGAAGCUUCCUCGUGGCAGUUGCAGAAGCAGAAGGAGGAGGAGGAGGAGGAGCGGUGUGUCCGUCUCUGGGUGCCCCUGAGGCAGCAGCUCCUCCUCCUCGUCCUCCUGAUCGGGUAUUGGCCAUGGAUCAGUAGAAGCGCAUCAGCACCUGGGGACAUACGUUCAUUAGGCGUUUGUUUAGGGAAGGAAUCCUCCGAGGCGCGAAUUCGAUUGAGUCCAAUUCUAAGCAGAGGACAAGGGAUGGAUCGAGGGCCUUAGACAGAAUGGAACCAGAGGAGAAGUCAUUGGUUACUUACCAACCAGGCGAGGCGGUGAGGCGGCAAUGGAAGAAGCAGCAGAAGAAAUCGGUCCUGAAUCCGCUCCGGCGGAAGCGGCAGCUGAGCUGACGCGGGGCUUGCGCGGCGCUGGAGCAACACUGGCACCGGAGUGCCCAAACCCUAGCCCCAAGGAGAGCCGCCUCCUCCUCCGGCGUGGCGGCGUCUGGAGGGGCUUUGCGGUGAAGGGAGGAGGACGGAAUUGAAGGUGGGGUUGGGGAGGGGGGGGGGCAACGAAAAGAACAAGGGGGUCCUCCCUCACCUCUGCCCAGGCUCCAGCUACUCCCCGGCCCAUCCCAAAUUUACAUGUGUUUGGACGGAGAGCAUAAGAGUGGAGCGGCUUCUACGUAAAAAAAGAAAUUUCUCGUAUUUUUUAACCCUCAAUUCGUAAACUUUUCAAAAUAUGUGAAUUUUUUUUAUUUGGAGGAGUUCUUCUCCUUUUUAUAAUUUUCCUUUUUUUUCUUCUCGAUUUUCAAGUUAAUGGACCAAUUUGCCCCUGCCUCUCUCCUGUCUCUCGUCUCUUUUUAUUCUUAUUCUUGGCUGUCUCCUCUGCUUGCCGCCACUCCGUCUCUUCUUCCUCGCUCCAACUGUAGUUUCUUUCCAACGACAAUCAACUGUAGCGUAGCCUUAACAUAUGACGAUCGGGGGUAUAUAUUUAUCGGAUCAGCAAACAAAAAAGCCAUCCAGAAACAUCUCCACGUCUCUCCCUCGUGUUCUAAUGCUGUAUCCUCCUUCCUACUCUCGAUCUGUCGCACGCGCCACGCCAUCCCGGCCCAAUCCGUUCGACGGCAACCUUCCCCUCCCGCCACUCCUAUAGCGCCAUGCAUAUGCUUGGCAGGAAAAUUACAGGGGGGUCGAUCUGAAAAUCUGACAGGAACAAAGGGUAGUGGCACGGCACAUGCAGGUAUCAAACAUUAAUUUACAACCACUAGAAUUAAUAUGAAAAAAAGGAUUAGAGCUAAUAAUUAUAAUUGUCUAUCCCACGCCCUCUUUGAUCAAUUGAAUAUUCUAACGCAUACUCUAAAAUAUAUGUUUAUUAUUAUUUAGUUGCAAUAGAUUUCUUUUUGCAUCACAUCUCCAUGAGUGUUUGAUAUAUAUUUAAUUAAAUUAUUUAUUUAUAAAUUGGUAUUCUUAUCUCUUUCAUCAUACAUAAAUACAUGGUGAUACAUAUCCUGGGUAGUCUUUUUAUAUAAACAAUAACGUAAAUAAUAUAUUAAUAACGAUAGAAAUAGUAAUUUAGAAUUUUAUAUUGGUGUAUUUUAAUAUUUUAUUAUAAUUAUAUAAUUUAGAUUCAAAUUUAGAGGUUACUUUAACUUUUUAACAUUAAUAUAAUUAUUUAGGAGGUUAUUUGCAUUAUUUUUAUAAUAGCAUACAUGGGUAAUUUAUACGAAGAUUAGAGUGUUACUCUAGAUCUUUUUAAUAAUGAUAGAUGUGGGUAAUUUAGAUACAUGUUUAGGAGUUACUUUAGUCUGUUUUUAUAAUGGUAGAGGGGAAUAAUUUAUUAGAAAAGAUAAUAGAUCUAAUGACUAUUAUAAUUAGAGUCGUCGGAUUGAUGACCGGAUGUUUCUGAUUUUCUUGAGAAUUUUUAGAGUUUUUUAUUUUCAAAAUGUCCACAUGGAAUUCUAGGUGAUUUCAUGCGGAAGGUUAAAAGAAAGCUCCACUUAAUAAAUAGUAAUAGUAAGAUUGAGCAUAAUAUAUAUUUGAUGGUCAGUGAUAGAUGAUGGAAUUUAUUUAUUGAUGCAUGCGUGGUCGUCUGAGCUUCGAUGCGAGCUGCGAGCAGACACGGAGGUAGGGAAGCUGCGGCCCGGAGGUCCUCCUGAGAUGCACCGCGUACCGGGACUGCUCUUCAAUUCCCCGGCCGGCCGUCAAGAGCUGGAUCUCGAACAAGACCAAGCUUCCCAGGGCGGAGGCGCUAGAGACGCCGGGCGGCGGGACGACGCACACCAUCCGGUGGCGGUGGCUGUGGUACAAGAGGAUGGAUACGCCCAGCUGCCCCAGCGCCGUGGCGAUGCGCCGCAUCGUCUCGCGCGGACACUCGUGGAGGAGGAGCUCGACGCCGUCCAAGCCUCCUCCCAGCGCCCACUGCGGCGGCGGCGGCGGCGGGGGGGGGGGGGGAUGGAGAGCUGCUGGUAAUAACGGGCCGCCGCGUCGUACUGCUCGCUGAGGACCAGCUGGUACGAGACCGCCUCCUCGGAGCCGGAGGAGCCGUCGUCGUCGUCGUCGAGGUGGUGGAGCAGGCUGGCCCUCUCGAACCCGUGGCGCGUGACUAGCAGCUCCACGGUGCCAGCGUCGACCGCGGCUGGUCGUCGCAGAGCGGGACUAGUCGUCGGCAGCAUCGCCAGGUACGGCGGCAUGUCCGGCUGUAGCCAGCGGUGCUCCCUCACCUCGGUGAUGGUGGCCCGCUUCUGCGGCACGACGAUGAGCAUGCUGGAGAUGAGGUCCCGGGCGUCGUCGGAGACCCAGGACGGCAGCCGGAAGUCGCCGCGCCUGAUGUUCCUGCGCAGGUCGGAGAUGUCGUCGGUGCCGCCGUCGAAGGGCAAGCGGCCGCAGAGCAUGGCGUAGAGGAUGACGCCGCAGCUCCACACGUCCACCUCGGGCCCCACGUAGAGGCGGCCAUCCAGCAACUCCGGCGCCGCGUACUGCGGGCUCCCGCAGCUCUCCGUCUGCAGCCUCCCUGGGGCCCACAGCUCGCUGAAGCCGAAGUCGGCGAUCUUGACGUCGCCCCGGGAGUCGAGCAGGACGUUCUCCAUCUUGAGGUCGCGGUGGACGACCAUGCUGCGGUGGCAGUAGGCCACGGCGGCGACCAGCUGCUGGAAGAGCCUGCGGGCCGGGGCCUCCGGCAGCCUCUCCCGGACGGCGACGUGGUCGUAGAGCUGCCCUGACUCGGCGAGCUCCAUGACGAUGUAGGUGUGGUCGCCGGAGCGGACGGCCUCGUAGAAGCGGACGAUGUGGGGGUGCUGCGGCUGCCGGAGGCUGAGCAGACGCAUCACGAAAACCUCCCGCUCCACCGCUUUGUUGAUCGUCAAAGCUUUGCCUUUGCCUUUGAGGAUGAUGAUCUUGAUGGCCACCGGGUGGCCCGUGCGGAGAUGCCUGGCCUCCCAUACCUCCGCGGACUUGCCCUCCCCUCUCAGGCUGUGCAGCUCGUACCUCCCACGAAGCGUCGCCGGCAGCGGCUUCGCCGCCGCCGCCGUCGUCCUUGGCCUCUUGCCUAGUGAUGAUGGUGGUGGUGUCGAUGAUGAGCCCUCCUGCUGCUGCGACCUCUGCAUUGGAGUAAUUCAUAUAUUGAUUGAUCAUAUUUAUAUAUAAUAGCCGCUGCUAGCUGGAGCAGUUAAUAACUUGCAGGCACCUACGUAGCGUACUGCAGCCAUGGAUCGGAAUUGAAGAUGCCGCCGGCCAGCAGGCAAUAAGCAAGAGGCCGGCGGGAGGAAUUGAAGAUGGCCAAGGGAGACGAUCUAUCAGGGAUCAGCUAGUACUAGUAGGCAGUAGCAAGCAAGAGAUCAGCGGCGGGCGGAUGGAUAUAUCGAUGCCCAAAUUCGUCGCAAACUAGGGAGGGAGGAAAUUACAGUCUACUUCGUACGUAAUUCCUUGUUAUUAGUUACUGUAAUUUUCUAACUAAAAAAAAGGAAGGAAUUACUGCUUGCUGCUGCAGCAGCAACAAGGCAGUCUGCAUCCCUCGUCUGCAACGACGACGACCGUACCUAGCACUAGCAGACAAGAAAACCAUCGGUCCAAAUGAUGCAUUGCACGCUCUGUAUCUUCUUAUAUAUAUGUUGGCUAAUGGCUACCUUUUCUUUUUAUUAAUUUUCUACAUGCAUGCAUCAGCUUAGUUAUUAAUAUUCUAGAUGCGCGUACAUAUAGAUUUUUUCCAACAUAAUUUUCUUAUCCCUAUAGUUUUUAGGGACAUCACAAAACCAAUUAUCAAGUUCAUUUCCUCUUCUCUCCAAGAUGUGGUCCUAUUUAAUUUGGUUCCUCUUAUACCCGGCUUAUAUGUGAAUGAAUGAGAAGCGAAAAUCCUACCCAAACACUUUGUUUAUCUUUUGCAUACCACAAAAGCCACUUAGCAUAGAAGCAGGAAACAACAGGUGUCCAUCCCCGCGUUUCCAAUAAGCAACAUUGCUUACCAAGACAAGAUUCUCCAGAAAAGGGCUUAUCAGAAAAGUCUACUUCUCAAAUAAGAGAGUUUUAGAAGCGGAAUCAAAUAGGGCGACAGUAAGUAACACAAUGCCGUCUGUUAACAACAGUGAUGUGCCAUGAACCAACAUAUAUGGAGAUGAGUAAUAAUGCAUCCAUACACACACUAACCUAACCACCAUCCCAAUUUCGACUUCAUCCCUGAAAAGAGCAAGGCAACAACAUAUAUAUAUAUACACAAUAUUAUCCGUACGUCAGAAUUUUGCGUUGCUGUUGCAUGCUCAGUCAAUCAAUAAUCCCUAUCAAUAGAUUAGCCGAGUACUGGACGCCACAUGGGAAAUGGGGCAGCGAAACAAAAAGGUUGAGCAGUGGGCUGCCCGGCAGCUGUUGAAUCCAAUCCAUCUUCACGAGAAACUGAGAAAGAGAGAGGCUUCCUGUCGCUGAUCCAACCAUUGCUGCCUCGCCGCCUCUGCUCACAUCUUCCUUGAUGGAUGAACAUUAGGUUAUGCUAUUACAGCUCUAACACCACAACUGCAAGUCAAUCGAGAAGCAGGUGAGGUGAGGUGUAAAUGCAUACGACAGGUUCAGCAAUAUAUGAUUAAGGAAGACUACUACCAGAUAGUAAGCAAAUGAAUAAUGCAGACACAACUUACAAUCUGAAUCCGUGGUGAUCCACUGCCCUAUCCUGCAGCUCCCCUCCUCCUCCUCCUCCUCCUCUCCAUCCAUGUUCUUCAUGCUCUUUGGGCUGCUGCUGCCGCCGCCGCCGCUGCACAGCAUACUCUGCUGGCUCAUGGACGACAACCUUGACAUGUAGUAGUCUUUUCUAGAUGGCGUCUGCUCUGACGCCUUUGCCGGCGCUGACAUCAACGACAAUGGUGAAUAUGCAACCGACGACGCUGAAGAGCAGCUGCCCACAUCCCACUUGAAGCUCAGCUUGCUCGAGCUGCAGCUCAUCUCGUCGCUCGCCUCCUGCUGCUUCUGUUUCUGCUUGCACCCUCCCUUUGCAGCUGUUGCGGCUGCAGCGCUGUCCCUUGCGUGGAAGCUCAGAACCUUCUGCAAGAACACAUUUGAUUUCAGCAUACAAGCAUCUACGCUGGAUCAAAACCUCCGAAUCUUGAUUUAGCUCCUAAUCCGAGUCCAGCGUGGGGAGAUAAUCAACAAAUUGAACCGUACAUACCUUCCAUUUCUUGCCACUGACUGUGGCGCCGUGAGGUCUGGCCUGAGCAGCCAGCUUCAGAAGCUCCUUCACCCGUGCAACUGCCUUCUUGCCGUCGAUCUUGUGCACCAUCUUCUUCAUUGCACCCUCAACUAUGCCAUGCUCGUUGAAGAUUGGCAGCACUUUGCAGCCGAUCACUACAGGGCCUGCAGGCUCGGCAAUAUGACCCAUCCUAAUGCCACCUCAGGGCUGAGACUCGUUGCUGCAACCCCAAACACCUCACUUUUAUCGCAUCCCCUGCACAUGGGCAGUGUUUAUAAGGAUUUAUUACAAGCGGAGGCAGGUCGAUUUAGUUAGGCAAUCAACGGCUGAGAUCAAACAAGUGGGAAAGAGCCAACGCUUGUGAUCGUAUCAGACAUGGGAUCCCAAGAGAUGGAUCAGUAUCAUCUAUCCUAUCAUUGUAGCAACAUGGUGGGCAAUGUCAUAAGCUAAGCUGGAAUUUGCCUUAGUUAAACAUCACAUGUGGAGAUAGAAUAAUAUCACAAUGGAUGUUCUGGCUGUAACAAGUAUAAGAAUCUUGAUUAGGUGCGUGCAGUUGCGGUCAAAGUUGAAUACUACUACUACAGGGCAGUAGCAUUUUAGAUCUCCUCAACCAACUUGCAUAUUUGUUUAGCAGUUUAAGCGAAAGGAUUAGAUAGAAGCUGUGUCAUCACACUAGCUACAUGCAUCUUUUGAUUAUUGAUUUAAAGGGAUCAAAGACAGAUGAGAUGAGAUAGAUUAAGCAAGCAAAUGAUAUGAGCAUGCAUGAUUAGUUGGAACGCUGUCCUUCGCGCUGCUUAGGUUGGCCAUGUGAUGCAUGCAGAGGAACGGUGCCCCUGGGCUGCGGCAUGUUACUGUGUACUGACAUACUGCAGGAGAAGGCUUAUUUUAUUGUUAUACUUCUGUACCGCUUGUCUCACUAGCUACUUUAUAUCGUAUUUGCUAUUUACCAUGCGUGGUGCAUGGAUAGCUCAGCUCCUAUUGAACCGAAAAGUGCACCGAUUGUUCACGGAUCGAGAAACAAGAGAGAUAUACCAAUCCAUGAUUUAUUCUAACAUUGAAAGUAUAUAUAUUACCAGAAGCAUUACCCGGACCUCAUCCGAGGAAAGUAGAAAACAAAAGAGAAAACCCUCUCUGAAAUAAAAUGUGUCAGACAUUUCAGUAGAACACGAAUUGCAUUGCCAAAUGCCAACCAGUCCAUCCAGGUGAGUUUCUCAUCAUAGAAACGCGGUGGCUCGUGAAGCUGAAGUUAUCUGGCCCAUUGUGAGCUACACAUGAAUCUAUUAUAAAUAGUUUUAGGUUGUGGAAAUGGCUUCCUGCUAGAUUUGAGUUAGUCAGAAAUGCAAACGAAUCCACAGAACAGGGACACUUGUCAUCACACGAGCUGAUGAGCAGCAUCAUGCCUGUGAUGUACUCUACCUAAUCUCCAUUGUCCGCGACAGAACACCAGAUCUUCUUAAGUCCCCCAAAAAGAAAAAGGAUAACAAGACAUGACUGAGCAUUUUCUCGACAUCUAGUUAUGGUAUCAACAUGUUGUGUGUUUGGCAUACCACAAUGUAAUGAUGGUUCAUGACCUAUCGGUCCAGUGGGCUCAGCUUGGCCAUUAAAAUGUUUCUUUAUGCCUUUUCCCUUGUCAUCUUCAUACCAAAAUAGUCAGUGUGUAUGUUUGUAGUUUGUUCCAGAAUAAUUAUAUCAUGCAAGUAGCUGCCAACAGGUGAUACGAUCCAUGUGCAGCAUAACCAUCUUGUCUACUUGGUUUGCCAUCUGCUUUUCCAUUUUGCAUCUGAACUUUGUAUGUGGCAUAGUGACGUGAAAAUUAGAACCAGAAACAAGUGCAACAAUGAUUUGAGUUUCUGGAUUGUUCACUUUUAUUUUUCUUAUUCUUUCAGCAUAGCCGUCAUAGUUUCCAAAAAUUUUCUGAAUCUUCUGAUUGCAAAAUAGAUUUAGCAUUUAGCUGCAUAUGCAAUGACCCCAUCCAAAUCUUGUUUGACUCCAUCAAGUAAAGAGUAACAUCAACAGCGACGGUACUGAGCUCUUUGUUGGUUAUAUGCAUAUUCCCAUGGUAUAAAAGGAGUUCAGAGAUGACAUUCAAAAAGGGAUGGAAGGUACCACGAAAGGACAGAUAAUAAGGGAUAUCAUGUUAAUCUUUGGAAUCUAGAAAUCAAUGAGAAAAUGAGCACAAUCUUUUUCCAACAAAUCAGAUAUUCUGAUAAUAGCAGAAUGGGCCUCUAAGGAAACCAAACUAGAUUAAUCCUUGUAAUGAAUGCUUAAACUUUCAUGAAACAAUUUGAAAAGAAUUCAACAACUCAGUAACAAUUUGCUGAGAGCAAACUUACUUCAAAUGAAGCCACCAAAAGUACCAACCAAUGAGCAGAGCCAUCAAAAAACUUAACGGUUUCCUUUCUCUUAUUAUGCAACCGAAGCUUCAAUCCGGAUUUCCCGGUUCUAAACGUAUUGAAAUGUUCCAUAAAGGGGAAUGGAUUUGCAUGCAUGGAACUUGAAACAAUAAUAACCACCAAAUUGAAUCACAUACAGAUGUAUUUACUACAGUAUCCUUUUUUUUAAAAUCAAGAAGUACAUCUUGGGCUGACUUUCAAUACUAUACAACCAAUUUAUAUGUUUACAGAAAAUUCUUAAAAUCUUAACACACCUGCCUACAGAUAUAUCUCAAAUGUCAACACUAUUCAGAGGCAUUUAGUAUUUUUGUGUACAAUAUAGCAAAGCCACAACCUCAAUUCAGAAAAUCUACAAUGGUCAGGUUCACGCUUCUUCAGCUUGCCGCAUGAGUUCCAGAAUGCUAGAAGAUUUUCUCUUUGCACGGUCCGUGCCAGACUCCGACAGUUCCUUGAGUGCAUCCUCCGCUCCAGCAGCUUUUGCAGCCCUCGUUUGCUCAACAUCAGCACAACAAAGCGACCACAGAAUGGCUGCAGCGUUCUCUCUGUUGCGAGGAGACCCUGUUUUAAUUACCUCUACAAGUGGGGGGAUCGGAUCCGACUGCGCAAUUACAGCCCUGGCUUCAGGGUUACCAGCAAGGAUAGCCAGAAGAGUGAGUGCCUCAUCAGUCAUUCCCCCGGUAGGAUCCACCAAGAAGUUCAUCAGAUGGAUGACGAUUCCAGCUUUGACUGCUCGGAUCUUAUUUCCCUGAUAUAUGCACAAAUUAAAAAUUGCUGUUGCUGCAUCUUUCUUGCCUCUUGGGCUCCCAUCGCACAGAAGAUUAAUGAGUGGAGGUAUUGCACCAGCACCACCAAUUGUAACCUUGUUUUCAUCGACAACUGACAAACUGAAUAGUGUGGCGGCUGCGUUCUCUCUGGCUUCCAUGCUCCCAGUUUUGAGCACCUCCACAAUCUUAGGGAUAGCAUGAGAGCCCACAAUGCUUGCCUUGUUGUUCUCAUGUAUGGAGAGGUUAAGGAGCGCUGUGACAGCAUGUUCCUGCGUUCUUGGAUCCGAAGAGGAGAGUAGAUUGACAAGCAAGGGAAUUGCUCCUGCUUCAGCAAUGCAUAUCCGGUUGUUGACAUUUCUCUUUGCAAGCAAACGGAUCUCACCAGCAGCAGCCCGCUGCUCAUCUUGGUUCCCACCCCUCAGCCUGGUCAUUAGCGAGACUAGACCAGCAUGGUCAUAAUCAGAGCUUUUUGCUGAUUUCUUAUCUCGGGAAUUUGCCUUGUUCUUCGGAAGCUCAAUGCCGUUGGCUUCACACCACUGAGCUAUUAGGCUUUUGAGGACGAAGUUUGGUGUCAGUGAGGUAUGUGAGAGAGGCUGUUGCGUCUUAGGGCACGUCUUGUGUCCAGAAUCAAGCCAUUUCUGGAUGCAUGAUCGCUCAUAUGUCUGAAAAGUGAAAAGUAGACAAGAAAAGUCUUAAUAACAAAACUGAUGUAUUUAAGGAGUAGAGCCGUAAUUCGAACUUUACACUGUGAAUGCCUACCUGUCCGCUGGAAACGAUGACAGGGUCUUGCAUGAGCUCAAGGGAUAUCGGGCAUCUGAAUUCAUCGGGGAUGAUUGGAGAUCUGUGCUUUAUGGAGGCAGACCUGGCGGUGAGUGUCUCUGGUGCGGGAGCUUUUUCAGUGAUGACACAAUCUUUGAGCUUCUUGAGCAAGGAAGACAUCUCCUCGACGCAGCCAUCAGGUUCUCCGCCACUGGAGAUGACCAUCUCGUGCAGGGCGACUGAUUCUUUCUUGAUAUCGGCCAUGGUCUGCAGUUGCAGCUUCUCUGAGAUCCUUGUGAAGACCAGAGGAUCAAAGGUCUUGUCAGCGAGAGCGGAGGAUAUAUCCUUUGAAAGCUGCGCGUCUGGUGGAUCCGUUCUGGUUGCAGCCCUUUUGAACUGAGAAUGCACAAGCGCGACCUGAAUGCACAGAGUAGAAAUCGGCGUUAUUAGUGAGUCAGGGCAUGAGGAAGGCAGGAAGGAAGGAAGAGGAGUUGGUCAGGCAGCCCACCUGCUCCUGCACUUCUUCAGGCAUGUCGAAGGUGUGGUAAGGCAAGGCAUCCAGGGCCAGCUGAAUCUGCCUGUUGACGCUUGCGAAGCGGUCGAGCAGGCCAUCCCCUCGCAUCGCCUGGUCCAUUCAAUCAUAGCAUAGCAUAGCAUAGGUUGAACUGAUGAUCACAAAAGCUGUAGUUUGGUUUCUCGAUAGACGAGACGAGCAAGGUACCUGGUAGAUCUUGCUGCCGUCGUGAACUGCGCGGAGGAGGUCGCGCGCUGCCCCAAGUGCGUCGGCGAGAGGCAAGGCGCCCUGGAGCUGCUGGAGGAGGGGCGCGAGGAGGCGGAUGCGGCGCGCGAGGUCGCCGCAGAGGCGGCGCAUGGGCCCGCGCGGCUCCGGGAGCGCGGCGAUCUCCGCCGCCACACGCGCAGGCAUGGCCUCUGCCGCAACAGCCACAGCCGUGGUGGGUGAUAGAUGGAGGGGCGGCGGUGCGGGAGCGAAAUGGAGAUCAGAUCCGAUGCAAUUGAAUUACGCCGCCGCCGCCGCCGCCGCCGCCGCCCUCACCAACCCAACGCAGGACGGACGCGUUCGACUUGUCUCUCCUCUCCAACUCUCCUCUCCUCAUUCGAGGAAGACAUCCAUCCCUCCCUCCGGACUCCGGAGACAAGGUCAACUUUGCGGCGUGUGUUUGUGUUUCUUUUUUUUUUACAAAAAGAUGCGUUGCUUUUUUAACACCAAUCUAAUAAUAGCGAAUUUCUAUAAAAUUAUGUGUGCGUACAUAUGAAAAAUCUAUUCAUAUGUAGCUACUCCUACAUAUGUAUCUCAUAAUGUAGGAUGUAUCCGAUCAAUGUACGAGGUGCAUGUGAUCGUACCACAUCAUCUUUAAUGGUAUAUAUGUUGGGUACGUGACCAUACAUAUGUGAAUAUGCUCAAUUUUAUAUACUAGUACUAAGGUAUAAUAAUAUAUAUUUAAAAAAUAGGGAUGCUUUUGAUAUUUUUCGUAUAUAUUCUUUGAAGUAUCUUAGAAUAAGUAUAUAAAUAUAUUCAAAGUGACAGAUGAUGAGAGUAGCUACACGCGAGUGCAGAUAAAAUUAUAUAUAUAUAUAUAUAUAUAUAAUUCAUUCUACACACACUUGUAGCUACUAUUUCAUGACGCUGACGCAGGACGUAUCUAACCCAAUGUAACAGAACAUCUAUGAUGGUAUACAUGUUGAGUAUAUAGGGAUCCCGAGUAUAUAACCAUAGACAUACUAAUUUUUAUAUAUUAGUAUUAAGGUAUAAUUAUAAUAUAUUUAAAAAAUAGGAGUGUUUUUUAAAAAUAAUUAUAUAUUUAAAAAAUAGGGGUGUUGUUAAAGAAUAGAAGUGUUUUUAAAAUUUUUUGUAUAUAUUCUUUUAAAGUAUCUUAGAAUUACGAAAUAUGUUAGAAUUAGUAUAUAAACAUACUCAAAGUGAUAAAACUCGUGGUAGUUUACUAUUUAGGAUACUCGUGGUGGAAAUACGCGAGUAUAUAUAUGGGUAUGGAAUAGCUAUUUCAUACCCCAGCCAAUACUAUCGAGAUACAGUACUUUCAAGCAAACGAACGGAAAGCAUAUCCCUGCACUUCUGCAGAGGAUAUAUGUGUUCAACCAAAGGAUAUCGUUUGGACAUUUCAACUUCAACCAACACCACCGAUUACAAGCGCGCCCAACACUUGUCAGUCAAACAGAUCAAAAUUUGGCUACUUCGUCUCCGAAUGGGGCUGCAUCUACACAUCAAAAACAGGUGUGCCACCAACUUGUCAGCCCCAGCGCGACUAAAUCAAGUCAUCAACAUCAAGGAAGAAGAGAAACAAACAACAGACAACGGCAUCCCCCCCCCCCCCCAAGCAUUUUUGCUAAAUCAAAUUGCUACCGUAUCUUGUCUCUCCACUGCAUCAUCCAAAAUCAAUUACCCAGCUUACUUGUCUAGUACCCUCCUCCUUUCUUCCCCUUGCUAUUGUAUACCAUCCAUUGUCUUGCUUGACAUGCUUCAUCAUCUUAUGUACAUCGCGACUUCAAAAGACAGACAAAUCCUGCUAGCUUAGUUACUCCGGCUCCGAUCUCUCUUUUUCCUGGGAUGAUGGCAGAGGAACAGCCUUAUACAGGUACGACGUCCCCUGGAAUAUGGUCAGGUGCGCCCCGUUAAGAUGAGCUUCCAGCUGCAACACAGAGAGGUCAAUCAGAAUUACAUCAUACAGCAUUCCGCCCUGACCAUCAAAUCACCACAAUGGCCGACUCGUAGCUGACCUCUUCUGGAGGGAUCCGGGAGAAGCCAAAUUUAUUCAUCCAUAUUCCUUCAGCUUCAUGGGCAGCUGGAAGCACAAAGUGCUUCACCUUCAGCGAGAUUAGCACCCUCUCUAUGCAUGAGAACAAUGCCUGGAAGUAGCCCUGCAUCAGAGUAAUGGGUCAAACUCAAUCCAACAAUAAAAACAACAACCAGGACGGCCAAGGAUCAAAAUCUAGUGCUGCUCAGCCAGCCCUUGAAUACCCACCAGCCCUUGAACAUCCCGACUUGUAGCAACCAGGGGUAGCUCGGCCACAUCACCUCCCAUGACACGCAAAAGUGCUGCUGACACCACAGUAGAGCUGCAGCAAGCAACUAGGAUUCAGUAUUGUUUUCUCAAAUAACUAGGAUGACUACCAUUGGAUGCAAGGCAAAAUUUUCAAUUUCCUGAAACAACUCUUACCCCACGGUCAACAAUGCACAGUACAUUCCGCUGUAAUCUUGGCCAGCCAUUCCCUCCUUAGGCCCCCUCCUGGUAGAUUUAAACGAGGAGAUGAGAAUCUUAACAGAGGCGGUUACAUACCUCUAAAGCAAAUAGCUGUUUGGUUAUCUUACCCAUGAACCAUCUCAGGAAUGAGAUCUCUACAUGUGUGAGCUUCAACAAUUGGAUCGAAAGAUUGCUGCAAGACAACACUUAUUGAGAAACCAAAGACUCGAUGCUAAGAAGUCUUAAUGCCCCUCCACUAUAAUACCAUGCUUGCAACUAAAUUUCUGAACUUGCAUAUGAUCAGGCUUUUUUUUUAAUGUUUGGUGUACAGAUCAUAAGGCCACUGUUACAUUUCUCUGGCCCACACACCCGUAACCAGUGUGAACAAAACUGUAUCCAAAUCCAGCCAUAAUUUCUUAGCAGCAGAGCGAACCUUCGCUACUUUAGAAAAUACCCCCCGCCCCCCCCCCCCCCAAAAAAAAAAUCCAGAAGCCCACUGUUUGACAUUAAAAUGGUAUCAAAGUAGAACAAAAGGAAAACUCAGCAAAAGCUGGCAAGCUCAGUAGUAACACGGGGCAAACACAGUUCUGCUAUUGAUGAACUAGUUUUUCCAAAUUUAUUAUGAUAUAGUGCAUCCACCCAAUAUAAGAACAAAUUACCAUCAGAUGGCCAUAUGAAAAGGCAUUAAAAGGGGGAAACAAAACAAAGAUACUUAAAACAGAAAAUUAUGCAUAAGAUGAACGAAUUAGAUCAAAGAAUACAGGACCUACAUGAAAAAUCGGCACUGCAGCUGAGAGCAAUAUCCUUCCAUCUUCAGUAGCUCUUUUACCAGAAAGCAAUUGCCAUUUGAGAUCUGUACUGGUAUCCAUGCAUAAACCUCUAAUCUCAUGUUUCAUCCUUAUGAUUUCAAUAUCUGGCUCCGCCAACGGUUGAGCUCCAUCGGAGAUUAUCUUUUCCAAUGAAAGUCGUGUCCCAGAGCAACUACCGCAACAGAACCACUCCCCCUCUGGCAAUUCCUGUAGAAAAAGAAAAUGCAUUGUAUUGUGUUAGCAUUCGCCCGGGCAAAAGACAUCAUUCUUCAUCUGAAGUGAGUAUAUCAUGCAAAUCAAACUUGAUGGAAUAAUAACAGAUUUCGAUCAAAUAAUAAAUGUUGUUCUGCACUAACCUUUAGUUCUACCUGCCAUUGACUCUGCAAACAUCCUACAUGAUAUUCUUUCUCACACUGAGCAGCACAAAACAGAAGUAUGUCAGCCAAGUAUAACAGUAAACUUGCACGUGUAUAUUGCACUUUAGCCUAGUGCUAAAAACUAAGAGGAAAUUGAACCAACUGAAGAGUAUUUGGAUUAUAGAUUACGAUGUACAAGCAGAAAUAUCUAGCCAUCACAGAAAUAGCAUACUUGGUCACAGAGUAUCACAGUGCGCUCAUCAAAUACAGCAUUAUUGAAGUCUUUCUUUCUGCAAAGAGAAAUUUUGAGUAAGAAUGCUGCAAGAAUGGAGUUUGCGAAUGCAACAAGCAUGAAGAAAAGUGCACAGCAAGCAGUUCUGGAGGCUAGCCUACUGAUAACAACAUACGUUAAAAAACACUAUGACAUAUUUCAUUGUUCUAAGAGAUAAGUGUUGGACCAAGGAUAAAGGCCCCCACCCCUCCCACUAUAACACCUGGGUUUUAUGGUCGGGUUGGCUAGGUGGGACGUUCUAACUUGGUACCAGAGCCGAGGUCCUGGGUUCGAUCCCUCCCGGCCACGCAUUUCCGCUGCGCGAUUUCCCCUGCGUCUCUCGUGUGCUGAGACCUGCUGCGGGCUACGCCGGGCUCGCACGCCGUAGGGGGAAUGUUGGACCAAGGAUAAAGGCCCCCACCCCUCCCACUAUAACACCUAGGUUUUAUGGUCGGGUUGGCUAGGUGGGACGUUCUAACUAUAAGUGCAAAGAAUGCCUACGCUCCAGCCACCACACCAUCCUGCCUAAAAAAUACCUAGCUAACCCAGAUAGCUAUAGGUGCUAGGUACCGCUGUAUCAGCAGCUUAGAGACAUAGGCCUGGACAACUGGUAGUUCGGUUUCAUCAGUUCACUGUAUUCAGUGUAUGGAUAAUUUUGGUGCUCAGAAACUAGGAACUGAAGCUCCUGUAAGGCCGUAAAGAACACCAAAACCGACAACUUCAGUUUUCAGUUUUGUAGGUUCGGUUUUCUGUUUUCAAGCAAAGUGCAGAAAGCGAGUGGAAACAUCAUACAAAGGCUUUCAUCAUUUUCCCACAUCAACAAGUCAGCACAAAGAUACUAAAGUCAGUGCUCAUUGAUUCAAAUCACUACGUACCAGCACUAGCAGUUAUUCAAAUCAAGAAUAUGAGCAAACAUGAGAACCAGCUAUAACAAACAGCACUCAGUACUCACUUGCAUAGAGCACAGCCUCCAAGAUCAUCAGACAUGGGGACAAUUCGUAUAGCCCUCUUCAUUAUCUGUUCAAUGGAAUCAACUCCAGCUUGCCUCCCAGCAGCUUUAGCGUUUUUGUUCUCUGCCAAAGCCUUUUCUUUUUGUACAAGAUUCCUGCAAUUAUCACAAUACCAUUCUGAGGGGGCUUCAGGCAGUCCGACGCAAGCUGCAAUUGGUACAAGUGAUCUGGCUGUUAACACUUUACAGAUAAAUAAAUAAACAAGACCGUUCUGAAAUUUUCGUUGUAAUUAAUUUCAAGGACUUGCAAAACUACCUGGAUGAAAUGACCUUGGACAAAUUUUGCAUGGGAAAAUAUCUCCCCCAUGACCGCAUUCUCUGCAAAGAUCAUCCGUUUCGCGUUCUGACCGUUCCAUAUCCUUUGAUAUUUUCAUUGCCAGCUCAUGCAAUGAUACUCCAUUAGAUGUGAAGAUGUUAUCAUACCUGACAGCAUGUAACACAGUAAGGACGACCCAUGAUAGUGUUGGCAUAAGUUAAACAGGAGAACGUAAAUGCUUACGGCUUGCGCCUUGAUCCCUCACCCGCAUGAGCUUCGAAUGCUGAUGGGCUAACCUGAAUAUAUCACACAAAAAAGAUGAAUUGUUUCAUAACAUAUAUGAUGAACCUGAAGAAAUAGCUUGGAUGAGAGAAGAGUCAGACCACUCUGUUGCAGUGAUUACAGUAGAUUCUUUGAUCCUUGAUAUACCCAUCAACCUUUCUCUGCAUUAUACAAUGCAAAGUAUAAACCAAAGAAAAUACAAGAUGAAUUGAACAAAAUCAGGAGAUAGCUCUUGGCCUAACAACCUGCCCAUCAACAUAGUAAGCUACUUCUGUGCCAUCAAGCAAGACAUUAAAGACCAAUUUGUGUAGUCCAUUAUCCCUGAAGAGAGUACCCAACCAAUACCAAUGAGCUCGUGCACACAUAAUAGAGAAGGUAAGAUAACACACUUAUAGUGUACCAACUUGUUUGUUACUUUGCCAGCACUUCCACCCUUCUUGCUUGAUGAUAUCUUCUUUAGAAAAGCCACCUUGGAACUUGCAGUCAGGCUACAGCCCCCCAAAAGAAAAAGGUAAGGAGCUAAGAUCUAAAUAUGAGAACCUAAAGAUGAUUUUAAAAAAAAGCAAAAAUUUUGCAAUCAGAACUCAACAAAACUACGACCUAGACAGAACAACCAAAAGUAGCAUCUAACCAUAUCAGGCAGAUAUCGCUGUGACAAAAUUAAUUAUCUAACCAGUGGUGAGGCCAUAGUUAAUUGGGCACAAGAGAUGAUGUAGCACAUUAUUUACUCAAACUGCUUACCUGGAAUUGCUCUUACAUGGAUAUGAUGGGGUGGUAUAAUCUUGAGUUUGCUUUGACUCGAGGCAACGUUGACACAAUACAUGUUCAGUUUGUGAUGAUGGAAGAACAUGCUCUGCAGCAUUAGAAGAUUAGUCAAAUGUACAUAGAGAAUUUGUGCUUAAAAAAAAUGCUCUAACAUGAAGUCCUUACCGUUGCAAUUCAGGCAAUUAACAUGGCUCCCCUUAACCACUGGACCAAUAGAGGAACGAAUUGUUUUUUCCAGAGCCUCCAAGGGAGAUCUUUCUGAUGCACGCAGCACAUCGCGCAAACUAUUGCCAUUACCUAAGUAAAUGUAGUCAGCAGGGUGUUUUUUUGUGCUUCCAGCAUGUUGUUCGAAGUAAUAAGCCGAAACAGCCUGUAAAAAAACGGAGAAUGGCAUAAUGUAAACAGUCUGUGUCCUUUAAUGGUUUGUAGACUAGGGAACACCAACCUUGGAGCCAUUACAGGACGGACAAAAGCAACGUAUAUUGCAACCAGUAAUCACUCCUUUUAGCACAGCCUUCUGCAACUUGCAAACAGAACCUAAGUUAAUUGCAUGAGAUACAAAAAUAAGAUAGGCCACAAUCCAGAGUAAUCUGUCAUCAAAGCAAGUUCAAUUCUUCCUAUUUUUCUUAGGAAGAUAACACAAUACUCCCUGAAAGCAGCCUUUGCGGUGAUAGAUAACAGAACUAGUCCUCAAACUGCAUUCAUUUUGUCAUGAUCCAUGGUUUAAGGUCUAGCGAAUGCAAAUACUCAUACUGCCUAAACAAAGGAAAACUCUAUCUAAAUAUUACUAGACUAUGCUAAUCAAUCAAAAGAGUGAAUCACAUGAAUCUGUGAGCGAUUAACAUGGCAGUAACCACAGAUUUAAAAGAACUGCUCAAAAAACAUUACAGCUGAUUCUCGCAUACCUUGCUAUGAGGAAUGAUGUACAUAACUGGCAUUCCCUCAAGCAGGCCGGUGUUGAGCAGCUCCCUAAUGUUUCCAGGGUGCUUUGUGAGGCAGGCAACUUUCUUUGACAUCUUCAUCUCCAUCUUCUUCACUGACGGAGGGGAAUCGGAUGCACUGUCAUGCGCAUCAUCAGAUCCAACCAAACUGCUCUCAACCUUUGUCUUGAGCAGCGACCUUGUGAACCUUCUUUGAGACUUCUCCAGCAGCAAAGCCAAAUCAAAUGAGGCCUCCUUGCUGCCAUCUGGUGUCGCCUGACUUCCACUAGCUGCAGAGUCUUCUUUCUCUGGUUUAUUCUUGAGCAGGGAUCGAGUGAAGCGCCUUGCAGGCUUGAGCUCGGCGGCAGGCAAUGGUGUGGUAGUGUCUUCAACUAGCAGAGCAGCGGGGGCUAAUGCAUUGUCCGCGGCCUGCAGCUGUAGACUUCCUCCAUCUGAGUUAGAGCUAUUACACUGGUCGUUUCCAGCUGCAGAGGUGGAUUCCGGCAGAGUUGGUGCUGCAUACAGCGCAGCAGCACAUUCCUCCAUGGGCACAUUCGGCUUUGCAAUCAGCGAGUCCUCAGCCUCAGCGUGCGAUGGUUGUGGGGCUUCUAGCAUCUUUUGUGCAAUGACCUCUUGGGCGGCAUUGGAAUUGGACUGAUGAUCAGCGGCGGUGGGAGGAUUGGAUCCAUCGACCGGUUCGAUGAUGUCGCGAAGGGGCUGGGUGGGCGGCUCGGCGUCGAUGGGCGGCGUGGGCGGGGAGACGAGAUCUACGGCGGCGGCGGCGGCGGCGGCGGGUGGUGGAUCGGAUCUCUUGCGCCGCUUGAGAGAUGCUGAUGCUGAUGGGUCAGGAAGGGAAGAGAUGGGGCGGCCGGAGCGCGUGCGGCCGGGGGAGGCGGAGAUCUCGGAGAGGGACCGAAGCGCGAACGCGAGCUCGCGCUUCAUGGCCCGCGGCGGCGGCGGGGAUGAGGCACAGGUGUUGCCACCUGAGGAGGAGGACGCAGGCAUCGGAUGAGAUCGGAGAGGGAUUAUGGCCAGCGAGACGAACUACGAUUCCAUGUCUGGAUGGCUGCUUGCUAGGGUUUGGAGCACGGGGGAGGGGAGGGAGGGGAGGGGAGGGGAGGGAUCGGAGAAGAAGACGAUGAGGCAAACCAAUUAAUCGCGUCGCCGUAUUUACCUUUCUUAAUUAAUUCUUUCUAUUUUAUUUACUUGGUGGUCCCUCCUCUCUCGCCACCGUUACUUUUCUCACUAUAAUAAAUCAAUGACGAUGACUUCUUUGGUUUGUGCGCGAAAAUUGUUGUUUUGUAUUAUUUGUGUUAUUUAAAAAUUAGGCCUUUUCGCCUUCUUUUCUGCAAACUAGUCAAACAUACUUCUUGUUCGAUUACUAAUUUUCAUCAUUAGCCUUUAGAAAAAUGAAGUUCUUUAGGUGUGGACGUGGAGCAUUACUUUCACUAUUUUGUUGUUACAAAAUAUAUUUGUAGAAAGCAAAAAAAUCAAAUUAGUCAUUCCGGUAAUCCCUUAAACUAUUUUUUUAUUCAAAGUGUUCCUACAAUUAUGUCAAUUAGUCUAAUUUACCCUUAACAUGAUUCAUCAUUUUUGUUUAAUUAUGCACAAGUAGUGUUUUUCGUAGACUAGUUUUAUGCCCAUGCUUUGCCAUGGGAUCGUUUUUUAAUACAGUAAUAAAAGUGCGAAAAAAUAUAUUAUUUUAAGGUUACAAGAUGAAAUGAAGCACGAGAAAAGAAGCAUAAGAACAAAAGUAUAGCUGCAUCCAAUGAAAGGAAGGGAAUAAGCAUAUGCAAAACAAAGGCUUCCCAAAUAAAAAACUAAACAUGCUAGCGGAUUAUAUUUGAUGUGUAAAAAGAAUAGCACUACAAUUUUAUGAUGCAAUGAAACUCCAUUUAGAAGCACAGGCACAGAUCAAACAAGAAAAUGAGAUUUUAUACGGAAUCAUAUUUUACCUGUCGGAAUAAGACGGUAGGAUUGUGAUAUACCUUUAAAAUUAUAAUUAUAUAUAACUUUGCAAUAUUUCUGAAAAAUAUAAUUAUAGUAACAUAUUGCUUUUGAAUAAUCGAGAGAGGUUCUGACUCUUGGGACUCUAUGUGGAUCAGCCUAAGGGGAGCAAAGAGCCAACUUUAUGGGUCAAAAGGGGUUAUCGAUUGUGAGCGCCCACAUAUUUUGUGCAUGUCUAGAAAAUAGUUACUAUUUAUAAUUGAAAAAACACUAUUUAUAUAAUAUCAAUUUGUGACUAUAAAUCUAAAAUAAAACAUAUACAUAUCAAAUUAUGUUUGUAAUUUAUAUAGCAUACUUAUUAUUUGUGUUGGAAGGUUAAUUGCGGGCGAAUGCCAAUGAGAUUCGGCUUUGGUGUCCUUUGUUAUUUUUACUUCCUGUUUUGCUAGGUGUUCCCUAAGAUGCAGGGUAAUAAUGGAAACGCGUGUACAUAAGGGAGGGCAUGUACAUUAGUCUAAUCUAAGUGGCGGUCUCAUGCAUCGUCACGUUAUCUUUAGAUGAUGUAACAAAAUGGGUUGUUUUAUAAGUUGUCUCAUAGUAAAUACAUAAUUCUAUAAUUUUUGCAUAGAAAAAGAAAAUAUUGUGAGUUGCAUGGCAGCAACAGCUCAUACAAUGGUGAGAAAAUGGUUUUAUAGUCCUAAAUUUUAGUCUACGAGACAGUUGUUUCGCAAAACAACCACCUUAUUCUCUCCUCACUCUCUGUCCGCCACCUAAUCAAAAAUCCUACGUGAACUUGUAUGAGACGAUCUAUGACACCGCUGAUGUGUAGCAAUGUACUUGCCCUAAGUGGUGGCACAAAUAGAUAAUGGAUGGUUGUCUUUUAAUUUUAUCUUGCCUGAUUUUUAAAUUUGUUCGUGAGUUAUAUUUCUCUCUCUUUGUUAUAUUUCUAUCUCUUUUCUCACCACGGGUCCAGGGACCUGAGGUCCCAAUGGACCCUAAACCCUAAAACUACCUCUCGCUGAUAUUCAGACUAGCCUAAAUAUAGCACCCAGAACGAAUGCCCACCUUCGCGGGCCGCGGCUUCGUUCAGGCUAUCCAGGCUCAUGAUCCCAACCAACCGGCCGGUUGGAAAAAGUAUGGCUCACGUCCCCGACUUAGAAGACGAUUGGGGACUGUGUCCCUACCAUAGCUCCAACUAAGGUCCCCUGACCAGGCUUCGCCUUAUGCGUGUCGCUAUCCCCAACCGGCGAGGCCGAGGACAGCCAGACCCUGCGUACUAGCUGGCCCCGGGAGCAGGUGUGACGGAUAAAGAUGCACACCGGAGUCAACUUGCUAUACAGACCAACCACUCCCCCCACAGAGGUUGCCGUGCCCCUCGCUGCCAAAGCGAAGAGGCACUGUUUCACCUGACCGUCCUUAUGAGUGGACGGGACACAACGACAUCAUCACGAUGCGGCGGGCACGCCUCUACCAUGGCGGAAUGACGGAGUGUAAUAUUGAGGAUAGAGCGUGACUGCCAUACCGCGCUUAUUAGCGCAGGUCUCCUCCUCCGACUGGCAAAGUACGACACAAGGGGCAGAACGAGAUGGCCACUCCGGGACAGGACAUGGACAGUGGCCGUCCGAAGACUCCGACUGACUGGGUUGAUGACCCCGAUCGACGGGGCAAGGAACUCUCUCUUUCUCUCUCCUUCUCUGCACUUAGUUCCCUGUAAGGAGGACCCCUUGACUAUAAAACGAAGGAUCAGCCGUCUAGAAAAGGGGACCGGACCGAAAUCCAAGAGAUUCAUCCUCCACUCGAAAGUUUGUAACUCUCCAACCCUCACGAGCAGCUGGACUCAAUCAAUAUAUCCGACUGACCCCCGACUGGACGUAGCACGUUUGCCUGAAGCAGUAUAAAUCUUAAAUCAUUGUGUGCUAGGUCAUCUCCGAUCAUAAUACAUGAUACACAUUUCAAGUAGGUUUAGCUGCCGGCCAUUUUCGGAAUCGACGUGACCGUUUCAAUUCUUAUAAGUAUGAUGCACCAAAAUUUAUUAUUGUCUAGUGCAGUAUGUAUGGUAUCAUCAACUAAUUAUCCUUUUAAAAAAUGAGCACUAUCUAAUAACACCACGGCCGCGUACGCAUAAUGGAACCUACACAUUUUGAAUAAUAUGUUAGCAAUUUUUUUUAAAACUGUAGUGCUCCCUAUGUUUCCACUAUAAAUUAUUUUAGAAAUUCUAUGCAUAUUAGAGAUAUAAUAACUAUAUUUGCCUCUAUUUAUUACCUAUAUUUAGCUUUAAUUGAUUUUUCUAUGCACACCUAUUUUCAAAAUAGGGUAAAAUGUAAUUUACUUUUUAGAUAAAUUUUGAAAAAAUUCUAGAACUAGGAGUAUAGCUUUGCGAGAACAGAACAAUGUUGAUUGGUUCGAGAGAGUUCCCGAUGAACCCAAAAUUGCUUGAGAGUAGACCGAGUAGCCCAGUCCACGCCGGGACCCACAGGCAGACACGUACGAUAUCGAAAUAAAAUAUCCGAGGACUCGGUGAUGAAGUGGUGAACAAACAAAAAGACGAUUUGCUUGCUUGCUCUUCUUGGUUUCGUUCCAAGGUUUGGAAGAGUUGCCGAGUAGGGGUGGGGGAGGGGUGUUUUCUUCAAUUUUUCCCCAACAAUCUCACCCAUCCCAUCCCAUCCCAUCCCAUCCAACCUAGUAGUAGUAGCCAGUAGGGUAGCAGUAGCAAUAAGAGCUCGAGGGAGGAAGAGGGGAUUGAGGAGGUGAGAUCGGAUUGAUUCCCAUCGAUCGAUCGGAUUCCAUCGGAUCCCACCAAACCCUAAAGGAAAUCCAUCCAUGUCGUCCUCGUCGUCCUCCCCAGCGGCGCUGCGCUAUUACUGCCACCAGUGCGACCGCACCGUCUCCAUCUCCCCGCCCGCCUCCCCGGACGACGACGUCCUCUGCCCCCGCUGCGGCGGCGGUUUCGUCGAGGAGCUUCACCCAGGUGACAGCCCCGCCGCCCCCGCAGCCUUCUUCCCCCCGCCGCCCUCCUUCGAUCUCCGCCACCCCGGCGACCUCUCCGCCUUCUUCGGCCCGCCCUCCCCGGAGCCGCCCGUCCCGGGCCUCUUCGACCCCUCCAACUUCCUCCACGACCAUUUCGGCGGCCUCCUCUCCGGCGGCGCCACCAUCCAGAUCGUCCUCGAGGGCGGGAGCGCCGCGCCCCUCCUCGCCCCGGGCGUCAGCCUCGCGGACUACUUCAUGGGACCCUCGGGCCUCGAGCAGCUCAUCCAGCAGCUCGCCGAGAACGACCCCAACCGCUACGGCACCCCGCCCGCCGCCAAGUCCGCCGUCGCCGCGCUCCCCGACGUCGCCGUCUCCGCCGACAUGAUGCAGGCCGACGGGGGCGCGCAGUGCGCCGUCUGCAUGGACGACUUCCACCUAGGGGCCGCCGCCAAGCAGCUCCCCUGCAAGCACGUCUUCCACAAGGACUGCAUCCUCCCGUGGCUCGAUCUCCACAGUUCCUGCCCCGUCUGCCGCUUCGAGCUGCCAACCGACGACCCGGACUACCACCAGCAGCAGCGCGCGUCGUCUGCCCUCGCCCUCGCCCCCGCACCCGCCCCCGCUCCCGCUGCCUCCUCCCCCAGGGUGGCCGAGAGGAGGUUCAGGAUAUCGCUGCCUUGGCCUCUCAGGGCCGCCUUCGGUGCUGCUGCCCAGGCCGAGUCCAGCAAUCCUACCAAUGAUGACGUGCCUCCUUCUGGUGCCAACAAUAACGACCAUGGUGCAAGCGGCGGCAGUCCUCAAACUCAAAGCGGAUAUGAUGAUCUCGACUGAGGCCUCAAAGUCUUCUGGUAAAGACCCGUUCUGCAAAACAAAGAGGUAAACCUACAUUUUUAAGUAACUACUAUUAUGUCCGUUGCUUGCUUCCUGUAACACGAUUGGUGUUGCCCCAUUCCUAGUCCUGGAAUCAGGAAGCAAUAUGUACUAUUGUGUUUGAUUAUGUUUAGCGGUUACUGGCGAUUACUUGUAACUGCACUCUGUUCUUCUAUGCCAUUGUUUUCCUAUUUUUACCAAACCUUAGCGUGGGUAAUUUCUCCCGGUCCCGGCAUUCUAUAUUUGGUGAGUACCAGCAUGGAUGGUAGUCGGAGUCUAGAGUAACUGAUGGCCAGCACACAUGGGAUGGAACCAGUUUUAGUAACCGAUGGCCAGUACACAACUGCUGAUGGACCCUCUGUCGGGAAAAUGGUUUACUAAGCAGUCAGACAGCUUACAUUUUUUUUCCUUCACGUUUACCAGUGCCUAUGGACGUUCUGUUUUACCUCACUUAGUUUGAUUCAAUGUUCAUACUCAAUUGAGGUAUAUAGUUUUGUUAAAAAGAAGUGCAUUGCAGUGCUUGAUUUGAAAGGAGUUGCACCCUGCAAGCUGCAGUAGGCUGCAAUUUAUUGACCGCUAUACUUAUAUCAUAGGUUAAUGUCUUAUGAUGUCAUGCCGUAGAUAUUAAAAACAUAUCCUCCUUUUGGUCUGGUAAUUCUGUAUGGCUUGAUGUUGUAACUAGGUCAAAAUGAAUGGUAAUCUCCUUUGUACACCUAGCUAAAUGCGGACCAAAAGGUGGAGUCAUUUAGGAAGUGUACACCCUGCCAAGUGCUUACCCUUGGGUAUUUUCUCAAGGUUGAGUUUACCCUGGCUCUUGUUAUGUUUCGGGAGCAUUACUCGAAGUGAUGCUUUAUCUAGUCUUUUUUUUAGCUUAGCAUCAUGUCAUGGUCUUGUUUUUCCUUUUCAGUUAUAAUUAAAUUUUAGUGCUUCACCGUGUGUACUAGUUUUACCAUGGCAGCUACCUUAUAAAAUGACAGUUAACUUAAAAGAGUAAUAGCUAUUAAGGAACAUUAGAAUUUCAUCAUUAACUACAAAGAAUUUUGUAUUUUAGAAAGAAAUAUAGAAUUAAAGCCUUAGCCUGCUUGUUCAAGCACCAAGCAGUUGUGCUAUUUAUUUUCCUUUAAGAUUAAAGUCUGUAGGCAUCUAUAGCUGUUACUUUUUUUCAUGUGGGUUCCUUUGCUUUUUAUCAAGCUUGGGACUUUGUAUUGCAUCAGUUAGUUAAUUCCAUCAGUAAACAGUGUCUUGGAGAACCAGUUAGUUUCAAUGUCACAUUCACUUGUAGGAGUUCUUUUUAUGGAUGGGAGGAACAUGGAAAAUUCCAUCAGUAAACAGUGUCUUGGAGACCCUGUUAGUUUCAAUGUCACAUUCACUUGUGCUCCAUCCGUCCCAAAUUACAAUUCAUUUUGACUUUUUUAGAUACAUAAUUUUUGCUAUGUAUCUAGAAAAGCCAAAACGAAUUGUAAUUUGGGAUGGAGGUAGUAGUUCUUUUAUGGAUGGGAGGAGCAUGGAGUGAACUGAUUUUUUUUGUAGUGAACUUUAAAAUUUGCCUACCAUGAUUUCUUCACAUUAGAUGUUCAAUGCUGUCUAAUUUUUGUGGAUUGUAGAUAUUUUCAAAUGGUCAUUUGCAAUUUCUGGGUGGUACAUAGAUGGAUGCCUUACUGAUUGGCAGGUGGUUUCUAUUUCAGGGCAAGAUAACGAUGCUUGGUAGGGGACAUACGAUGCAACAAAAAAGACCGGUGCGGUACUGUAACCUGUUUGCCUUAAUGAAGAGAAGGCUUUUGCUUGAUUUCUCAUUGGUACCUGGAUGUAAAGAAUAGAAAGAUGGAAUUUUGGUACUUUGGAUGUUGGUGUAGGGAUUAUUUUUUUUCCUCUUAGGGUGGUUAGGAGCAUGACUACCUUUUCGCUGCCGUAGAUGGAGGAUAAAAAAGGAAAAAAAAUGGAUGAUCAAAGUUGCAUUCUGUUUGGUUCUCGACUUGACUAGUGUAUAAACAGGAUUUCUAAGGGCAACACAGUAUGCCAUGGGGAUAAGGUCAUUCUGUUGUAAUGAUGCUGAUUUUGCUGUGAGAUUAUGUUUGAGCAAAGAUCAUGUUAUACCAUACUUAUUCCUUAAUUUCUAGUGCAAAUCCAAUAAAGGCAAAGAAUGAUCGGAUUCUUGUUCUCCACCUCGAGUCCUCGAUUAAGAAAAAAAACCCAUGUUGCCAUGUUGGGGGAGGGUGGUGUACAGAGAGUAUAGGCUAUGUUUGGUUGCUUGGCUAGUAAGUCCCUUCCUAGUAUCCACACUGACAUGAGAGUGGUCUUCUCUCUCUCCCCCCUCUUUCAUUCUCCUCUGUUUCUUGCCUGCCUUUCUUUCUCUUGGCAUCGAAUGUGGACGGUGUGGCGUGCACAUGGCAAUAGGGCAGAAUAAGGACGGUCUCGACGAUAGGUACGAGCCAUGAGGCCGGAGGCCGGAUGCACGGCGGAUUAAUCGAGCCUUUAGAAUCGAUCAGAAGUUGAAACAAACACGAUCACGAUAUUGGCAGUUGCAUCUCGCGUCAAGGAAUAAGUAUUGUGCCCUCUCAUUUUGGUGUGAAGUUACGAUGGGUUAUUGACGAUGCUAAUAAUUAUCAGGGACAUGGGUUUGCUGAAGCACUUAAAUCUUAAAUAACUAGUUUUACAAGAAUCACCGUUAAAGUUUCAACACAAAGAGAUAGAGUAUGGCAUUAGGUUUUCGAUAAACGCAUCCCACCGAAACCAAAAAUCUUGCUGCAUGCAGAUAGCCAGUAGCCUUCCAAAACCAAAAUAUUGUUUUCAGAUCUUGGAAAAUGCAAAGUCUGGACCUCCAGUGUCUGCAGAUAUUUCGGAUGCUCACGUGCUGCCAAUGGGAAGAAAACGAAGUAGCACCAUUCGUUGGUAGCGUUGGAUUCUUCCAGCACGACACGUCUUGUUGCUCCUAUCUUUUCCCUUUGAGUGCAUCACGGUAGCUUGAUUUCUUUCUAUUUCUUUAAUACGGAAAUAUUUUUUUUUUGAAAAUAGUAGACUACCCUACUUAGGACCCCUUUGGCAAGGCUCCACGAGCGGCUCCAAAACCGGCUCUAGCCGGAGCCCCGCCAAACGGGAUGAAGACACUCUCUGGAUCACUUUGGGGGAGGCGGAGCCGGAAAACGUGGCUCUGUCCGACUCCGUCUCACCCUUUGCCAACCCUGACCCUAGGUGCCCGCGGCAGCACAGCAGCGAGAGAAGGGUGGCGGUCGGGGUGGGCGAAGGGCGGGUGCGGAGGGCCGGAGCGCCGAGUCAGGGCAGGGCAGUGGCCGUGGCAGCUCUCUCUCUCACCAAAAUCUAGCGGCGGCGGCAUAAAUCCCCUCCGGCGGCCGGCGGCUUCGGCGCGUAGGGAGGCCACUCCGAGCGGCGAAAUCGACGGAUCCACUCAGGAGGAGGCUGAUGCCGGGCGGGGCGCGGCGGCGGGUCUGAGCGCGUCGGGGCAGGGCGUGGCUGCCGAGCUUGGCACGGCGGCCGGCUUGGGUGCGCCGGCCUGGCAAGGCACGACAGCCUCACAAGGCAUGGCAUGGCGGCAGGGCUAGGUGUGACGGAGUGGCUCGCUAGCGUGCUGGCAGCACAUACGGCGCCGGCUUCGACAUCUACCGGGAACCAGACAACGGUAGCAGAAGAACAUGCCGAAGAAACUGUUGCACUUCAAGGAGCCACCGAUGCGGGGGACGCGGUGGCCAUGCUCCUAGGCCGCAGGCGCCGGCUCGUGCUGCCCCUGCAAGCGUGGAUGUUGACCUUACCAAUCCAAUAUAAGAAUACUUCUCUUGCUACCAAAUUCCUGGAUAAUAUUGCAGUGUCUAGCAUAGUUGAUUUAAAAUCGAAUGUCUAGCAUAGUUGAUUUAAAAUGGAAUGGACAAUAUACCUGAGUUGAAAUGGAACAUGUAGCUACUUGAUGUUUUGUACUUAUGGUACUUGUCGGAGGAUUUCUCCAGCCGGGUGGCGGAAUGCAUCUGCCUAAUCCUAGUUUAGGAUGAGUUUGGGAGAAGCCAAGAAAUGCUAGAUCAACAGGCGUAUGAACACGAAAAGCACACAAGGAUUUAGAGUGGUUCAGGCGGCCGGAGUGUAAAAUCCUACGUCCACUGUGAGAUGUAUUGCCUGAGCUUGUGAAUCUUGUGUGUUCGUGGAACUUGUGUGUGUGAAGACCUUAGAGCCUCUGGGACUUCUGUUCUAACGUGCGCGUUCUCCCUUUUAUAGGCUCAAGGGGAGCGCGUACACUAAGCGGGGUCCCGACAAGUGGAUCCGGCAACAUACGUACACAUUGAAGCCUUUAAUGCCUCAGAUCUGGAGAUCGUCCUCAUCAGCCUCCGUGUAUGUCCUCCGUCUGGAUUUGGUCUUGUGCCGUCCUGUCAGCAUAGUGGGGGUCGUGCUGUCGCUGUAGAGUCAGCUCCUACUGACAGGCGAGAGGGCUACACUGACCUGCCGUGCUGUAGCCUUUGCUGUGCACACCGUGGUCUUCCUAUAGCAGGUCAUAAUAACUCCUUGCUCACGCGCGCGGCGCUGUGAUGUGACUAUUUGUCCCUCGCCCAUGCACGCGGUGCGGUGACAUGACGCGCCGCCUCGGUAACUGGUGGGCUACCGUGAUGUCGGCCAUACCUGCCCGCCGUGUCAGAGGGCAGCCCAUACCCUAUCUCAGGCACUCUCACCCCAACCACUCGCAUUUAAUAUGGUAGUUGGGUUGCCUUCUCGCAGAAGACUGGAACCCUCCGACACGUGGCGGCGCUGGUUUAGCAGGCGCUCCCGCAGGGACACGUGGCAGCACCGGACCUCCUCCCCAGAGGGAUAGGAGGUCCGGGCCCCCUAGCAGGCCCAGACGCUCAGGCCCCCUGGGGGUCCGACUUCUUCACGUGGGGGCCCAGGACCAUCCCGCGGUGGUCCGACCUCAUGACAGCCGUUCCUGAGCACAUUGUCCUUGCGGGCAGGCGGAGGCACCGGACCUGCUAGUGCUUGGAGGGAGGUCCGGCGACCGUGCCCCCAGCCAUCAGGCCUGGGUCGUACGCCCUGUUGCCCAGAAGUUUAGCGCGUGGUUACGGAUAACCGCGCUCUCCUUGACCUGGACACACUAGUAGGAGGUACCUCUAUCUGUAUGUAUCGAUAGUACUGAUAUUGUUGGCAACAGAGAAGCUGAUUGGUGUGAUGAGAACACUAGAAUAGCCUGUGAGCUUUUUGCAGACGAAGUGCAAAAAGGAAAUCGUUCAACCACGCAUUUGAGUAAGACUGGGUACUUGAAUAUGAUAAGAAGGUUUUAGGAUAGGAUUGGACUUGUGUAUAUAGAAAACAAUUCAAGAAUAAAUAGGAUAAGUUGAAAAGUGAUUAUGAUAUUUGGAAGCAACUUACUAAGCAGACUGGUUUAGAAUGGAGUGCAUCAGGAAAGGAUAUUGUUAUGACAGGGACCUGGUGGAAGGAAACAACAUAGGUAUGAGACUUAAAAUUAGUUGUUUGUCCACUGUCAUGCUUUUUAAGUGACUCAAGAAUAUUUGUUGCAUUACAGAAAAUAAAGGGCUGCACCAGAUUUAAGAACAGAGGCAUCUAGAAUGAGAAACAAUUGGAAAUUAUGUUUGAAGACCGUCGUAACAACGGUGAUAAUCAUUGGUGUGCUUCUAGUGGUGUAGUACCUGUCCCAUUCCUGUUGAUGGUGAAGAUGAACCCUUCAAUGAAUAAAAUGAUAGUGAGCCAGAGGAGGUUGUCAGACCCGGGGCCACGGGACUGGGUACAUAACGUAGUUUAAAGAGGUCUAAGAGAUUAAGUCCGUCUUAUCUCUUAUUCAUCUUGUUUAUCUCUUAUUUAUUCCGUUUAAAUAGGAGAUAAGGCUAACCAAUACAGGGGGAAUCUACUCAAGAUAUGUUCUGGUACGGUUCCUUAGCUGGUGUUGGUUAAUAUCUUUGUAACACUGGCCUCUCGGAUAUAUAAGGGAGGAUAGGGACCCCUCUCAAAAUACGAUCUCUAGAUCAUUCUGCACCUAAGGCAAUACAAACCACUACAGGACGUAGGGUAUUACGCACCUAGCGGCCUGAACCUGUCUAAGCUUUGUGUUCCUUGUACCUUCGAGUUCCUGAUCUCGGCGUUCCCUCACCCAAAACUUACCACCUUGGGCAUACCCCUCGGUGGGCAGCCGGUUAAACAUCGACAGAGGUGACACCUAUAAGUGGGAGGGCGGAGAGAGGUAGAGGGGCUUACAACACCAAAGGGAAGAAGCCGAAAACAAGUACUAAUCAUUGGUUUCAUAAACAGAUGGGUAAGAUUGUGGAGAUAAAUGAGAGAACAACUGCAUCUUGUGAGUCCAUUGCAAAGAGGGAGGAUAAUUCUGGUUGGUCCAUGAAGGAUGUCAUGCUUUUGGUGAAGGAAUGUGGUGCUGUUCCAUCGACCAAUGAGCAUUUAUAGCAUCUCUUGUUUUUACCCAAAGGGCUGAAAGAGAAAUGUUUAUGACUUUGGACGCUCCCAAGGAGAAAUUUAAAUGGUUGACAAAGAAGCAUGAGUGGAUGAUAAGAAAUGAUAUGCCUAAGUAGAAAGCAUCCUAUUUGUCUUGGCAAGAUGCUUGUAGCAUCACCGCUAUAUCCUUGCAAUUGGAAUAUUUUUUUAAUAUGUUGUAAUAAUUUCGACUCUGUGAGGUUGUAAUACUGAUAUUAUUUUAAUGAGUGUUGUUUAUCUCAUGCACAGAUCUGAUUCUUCUUCUCUUAAAACUGAUGAUAGUGGUUCUGAUGAGGAUUGGACUAUGAAAACUAUGGUAUUAAUGAGGACUGCUCAGAAUAAUCUGUUUACUACUGCUCUUGUUGCCUCUAAAUAUUACAUGAUAUCAUGAUGAGAAUGAUCAUAUAAUUCCAUAAGAGUGGCUUUAGUUGGACACUGGAAAGACUUAACACUGGACAAAGCUACAAGUUGUUCAAGAUGGAUUCACAACUAUUUUACUAGCUAUAUGAUCUGCUCGUGAGUAGAUACUCCAGUCAUUGCUAUGUAGAAUCCCUUGCUAUGAGUUCAAUAGAAUCCCUUGCUAUGUUUUUUUAUUGUGGGCAUGGUAUGUCCAACAGUGCAAUGCAUGGUAUUUUCAAUCAUUCUGGUGAGACCAUUAGUAGAAAAUUUGACGAAGUCUUGAAUAGUGUGGUGGGUAUGUAUGAUGACUAUAUCGGGCAAAUUGAUCCUAAUUUUCGUACUACACAUCCAAGGAUUGCUAAUGAUCGUAGGAUGAUGCCAUAUUUUAAAGAUCGUAUUGGAGCGCUGGACGGUACUCACAUUGCAGCUACACCACCUCCACAUGACCUUAUCAGAUACAUUCGCCGAAGUGGCAAAGAGAUACAAAAUGUUCUUGCUGUUGUUGAUUUUGACUUGCGAUUCACAUAUGCAUCGAUUAGGCAACCUGGAUCAUGCAUGACACUAAUGUGUUGUUUCAUGCACUAAGGCAUGAUAAGGACAAGUUUCCGCACUCUGGUAUGUUCAUAUAUCCUUGCUUUUGCGAACAAGUGUGUACAUGAAAAUAUUUAACUUGUAACUCAUAUAAGUUUGCAUGUGAUUUUAGGAAAAUAUUAUGCUGUUGAUGCUAGAUGUCCAAAUAGAUCUAUAUACUUGGCACUAUACAAGCGAGCAAAAUAUCAUGUGCCAGAUUGGAAGAGGGGUCUUGCUCCAAAUGGUGAGCUUGAACACUUUAACCAUUUGCAUUCAAGUAUUCGAAAUGCGGUAGAGCGUGCCUUUGGUGUGUUAAAAAUAAAGUGGAGAAUACUUAUCAAAAUGCCGAGUUUUCCAUUGGAUAAGCAAAAAAUAAUUGUUGCCGCAACCAUGUGCCUUCAUAGCUUCAUUCGUGAGAACAAUGCAUAAGAUAAAGAUUUUCGCAGAUGUGAUCAGAAUCCUGAUUAUGUGCCCACUGUACUGGCAAGAUAUACAAAACAUCUUCGUUAUGCAGGAGAUACAUCAACUCCAGAAUCUAAUGAUCGGGCCAUGGAUAGAUUUUAUGAUGACCUUGCAUGGUCAAUCUUUCUUUCUAGAUCAUCAUGAGCAUGUAUCAAUGGUUAUAUGGUUUAUGUGAGGAUUGAGUUUUUUUUCAAAAUUACUCUAUUAGGAUAACAAGACAAUGAUUAUUAGGCAACUAAUAUUUCUAUUUAUUUAUUUAUUUUUAUAUUAAUUAAAAAUGUUAACUGAGUGCAAACAUAAAUAUAAACACAUAGACAUGUCAACAAACUAAAGGCAUAUUGGACAGUUGACCUCUUCAAUUCAUUCAUAAAAGCCAGGGUGAAGCCGUUUUACAAAACCCCUUCGCCAGAGAAGCGAGAGCCAGAGCCCUGCCAAAGUGAUGGAAGCAGAGCAGCUCCACCGACAGAGCCUCGAAUUUCCCGUUGAGGGCCCGUUUGGAUCAAAGGAAAAUCAAAGGAUUUUUGUAGGAAUACAAUCCAUAGGAAAGGAAACACGCUGCUACGUUUGGAACGGAAGAAACCGGCGAUCCGUUCCGCAGGAAAGGAAACUACGGGUGUGCAUGUUACAGGAAUCAAAAAAUCCACUCCGAGUCAAAGGAAAGAAAGGCUCGCUCUUUCUCCGUCUCUGUCUCUCACGUUCUCUCUCCGUCUGGUUUCCUGCAAUCCAAACAACAACAAUUCUAGUUUUCUGUGUUUUGAAUUCCUGUGAUUUUCUCAUCUUCUUGAUUCCUACGUUUUUUCCUAUUCCUGUAUUUUUCAUUCCUUUAUUCCAAGGGAAAAUUCCCUGGAAGGCCCUGAAGCAAAUGACGCUUCCUUCUAUGGCCCUGGAAAACCGAGACGCCCUUCUGUGGCCUCCUUUUUAUUUUCGUUCCCUUCCACGGCCCUCCCAUUAUAUCUGCAGUUAAGUCCCAGUUAAGUGAGUGUGAAAAGACCGUAGUACCCCUGGGCGAAAUCCCCCUGCGAGGCUCUCAAACAAAUCACGCUUCCUUCUAUGGCUCUGCAAAAACAGCAACUUCCUUAUUUGGCCCCGAUGAGCUCACCAAUUUCUGCAUGAGUAAGAGACUGCAGUUUGUUGAUCACUCCUUUUUAUGUAGAUAAUAGUGGAAUCUACCCUAAGUCCUCCGGUAAUCAGGUUGCAACACAGCAGCUUUGGGGUAAUCAGUUAUUCUUUCCAAAGAAUCAAGGUCAUCGAGAUGAGGAGCUGCCCAAUCUACUAGAAACUGCUCAUUUUGCUUCCUUGAACUGAAGAGGUAAAGUUCCGUUAGAAAUCCCAACUGCAACUUUUGUACAAAACUUGAAAAGUGUGAGAGCAGGCAAUACAUACCUGUCAAAAGCCUUUUGCCCAGUCAAAAGCACUAGUAAAAUCACACCAAAACUGUAAAUAUCAGCUUUGAUGCCAUCUGCUCCUGGAUCAGCAAGCUCAGGGGCAGCAUAGCCUUUAGCACUGGUGAUAGCUUCUGAAUCCUUCUGUUCAGGUGAUGAAUUGUUCAAAAAUAAUCAAAUGACAGCUGUCUUUGCAGGUGAUGAAUUGUUCAAAAAUAAUCCUUCUGUUCAGCUGCACACUCCCACAAUUUUGAGAAAAAACUAUAAGACGGUACGCACAUAUGAAAUGUCAUAUGAAAUAACAAUAGUAAACCUUAAGCAAGAUGAACAUUGCAGUGAAUGUUUAGCCAAUUUUACAUACAGUUCCACAAAAUGAGUUUAACAUACAGCUCCACAAAACGAGUUCAACAUACAGCUCCACAAAACGAGUUCAACAUACAGCUCCACAAAACGAGUUCAACAAGCUCAGAAUAUGGUAAAUCACAAAUUGAGCUGUCUUUUGCUUCUUGUGCUCAUUGCAGGGCUGCAAGAAUCAACUUUUUUGCUUCUUGUGGCCAUUGCAGGGCUUUCAAAUGACACAUCGUUCUUCUUUCCUUUGUCUUCAGUUUGCUUCUUGGAUUUGGGCUUCAUGAGCUUUCCCUUUUGUUUAGCCUUGUUAGCUAGCUUGUUCCCUUUUUCUUUAGCUGCAACAAGUGGAUUUUCCCUAGCCAUGGGAAACUCAGAGCUAAUGGGCUCAGGCUGGUCUGUACUACCUGCACUACCUGCUGACUUGGAUCUAUAUAUGUAUAACAAAUAAAAAUUAUCAAGUGUUAUAGAUAAAAUAAGACUGAUUUGUAUUCAAGGCUGAUUGCAGCAAAAUAAAAUACAUCAGAAUUAGAAGCAUAUAUUACCUGAUUGAGUCUCCAGAAUCUAAUGUGCCUUUUCUAAUUUUUUUCUUAGUUGUAGGUUGCACACUUUGGCUAUUGGAAAUAAAGAGAGAUAAUUAGAUGAAUAUUAAGAUGCACAUAAAAAGAUUGUGAAAGAGAGAACCUUGGUGGAAAAGUCAUAGAGGAUGCUGGUGCUUCACCAUCAAAAAGUACUGUACUUUCCUCAGUUGAUACCUUGGUAGUCUUUCUCUUCUUCUUUGGUGGUCCUCUACAGAAGUAUGGGAUAAACAAAGGUGUCAUUUUUGUGUACAAAUUGGUUUCAUGUUAGCCCAGUACUAAAACAAAGUAUAGUUUAUUACCUCACAGCCAGCAGUGCUGCAAUAUCCUCUGGGUUGCCCUUCUUGCAACUUGGCCAGUGAUGCCCAUAAUCUUUACAGAUAGGAUAUUUGUGCUGUCCUUUCUUUAUCUUCUCCGUACAACCUUUGUAUCUUUCUGUCUUUCUCCUACCAGCUGUGGCCUUUAACAAAGGUGGAUGCAUGAAAAACCCAUGGCAAGAUUGAGGCCAAUGUGACUUGUCCUCCAUAGCUGGGAUUAGUUGAGCAUAAGCUAAUCUAAAUUUUUCAACUGAGUAAUACAUGUCCACAUGGUUCUCUAGAGGCACAUGCUAGGUAUGGUUGGCUCAGAAAAUUGUUUGCUAUUACUAGGAUAACCCUCCCACUCAAUGAUAGGCUCAUAGCAUCCUGAUGGAUCACUGUAUGCAAUGAACAUGUGCACAACCUUGCUGUCAAUAUGUUUCUGAAACAUUAACAUCAACUCUUGGUCGGUAUUAACUACUGGGAAGCUUUUUAAAUCUGCAUCGUAGUACUGAACAUGUGCUACUUCUAGAUAACCUGGUGGAUACAUAUCUGUGAUCUCAUCGACCAAGUCUUUCAAAUUUGUUGUAUCACUGUCAACAACCUUAUCAAAGCAAAAACAACGGACAUCCUUUCUGACUUUUUUGGAUUGCCAAGAAGCUUAAUUUCCAACAAAUAAGUUGAGUUUGGAUCCAUCCUGUCAAUUAUAUUAUCCUACAUACAUGAGCAAAUUGUUCCUGGUCAGACAGUUAGAAACAAGAGCUUCACAUGUAAGCAAGUGCACAGUGGGCAGGUCAAAGCAACACUGAGAAUCAAGAGAAUUUUUUUUUUCUAGAACAUAAUUAUAGAAGUUAUUUAUAUCCAUUGGAAGUCUUGCAUGUAAAGUCUAGAUCUAAGGAUGCAUGUUACAUUUCAGAUCUGUUGCAACCCAGGCAAUAGUGUGCUGAUGGAGUAGGACAGACAAUGUGCAGCUCAGCUGAUAAUGGCGUGAUUCUAAUAAAAUUGCUCAUUCUGAAAAGUUUUUGCCCCCACAAUUUCGCAAUUGAUAAUGUAGAAUUAUGUGCUUAAUUACGAAACAUGACUAGGGUAGAACCAUAGAAGCAACCGUUAUUCCCUAAACCAACAACUUCACCAAGUACAGGUUCUAGCUGCCAAAAUGCAAUUGAUGAUAAUCUGAUAACUGGAAACGUGGUUCCACCCUCGCUACAGUUGUGGGUGGACCAGCCAGGGUUCCAACCCCAGUCUCCGCAUCCUGAAGUAGGGAGCUAAUCUAGCCUCUAGAUCCUAUAAUAAUCUGAUAACCGGCUAUUUUCAAUUCAUGCAUUAAUAUCAAAUACUAUAAAUCACACUUAAGUUAUCUGCCAUCAGAAGCAUAAAUGAUUGUUUCACAAUACCAUUAACAUGUUAGAGCAUUGAAACAAUAUAUCAAACAGGUAAUAAUAUUUAGAUUCAAAUUGAUAGAUCUGGAACACUGCCGUCAAUUUUAGACAUAAAAGAUGCUACUUGUGAGGUCACACUGCAAUUUCACCAAGUAUAAGUCACUCACUAUACAGAUGCUACUUGUGAGGAUCUUGAUGCCAUUCCCUUGUACAGUUCAUUGAUGGUUUCAGGAAAUGAUAAGGUCAUAGAUAAACUGGAAUUACACUACACAGAUAACAACUUCAUUGAUACCAUUGCGCAAUAUUUUGCAGCAUUUUCUUCAAAUAUCUUACAUGGACCUACAUUGUGCUCGUAAACACUAUCUUCAUAAGUUUUUACAUAGACCUGCUAUCCCGCCAAUGCGGAAACCAAGAUUUUGCACGACCGAAAGAAGUGACGAAACAGAAAAAGAAACGCCACGAACCUGGGGAGCAAGAAGGGGGACUAGCUACCGGGCGAGGGACGGCACUGGUCAAAGCGGCGGAGCACCUUGGGGUCGUGCAUGGAUAGCACAAAGCGCGAUAGCGCCUCGAGGUAGAGCGCCGCCUGGUAACCCCCCUCCGCGCGCCGCGCCUCCGUGCGCCGCCCCUGGCCGCGCCUGGCCGCCCCCUCCGCGCGCCGCCCCUGGCUGCACCUGGCUGCCCCCUCCGCGCCCCCCUCCGCGCGCGGCCCCUGGCCGCCCCCUCCGCGCCCCCCUCCGCGCGCUGCCCCUGCCCGCCCCCUCAGCGCGCUGCGCCUCCGCGCGCCGGCCCUCCGCGCCCCCCUCCGCGCGCCGCGCCGCCCCUCCGCGCCCGCCCUCCGUGCGCCGCGCCCUGGCAGAUCCUCCUCCGCGCGCCUCAGUACGAGGAGAAGUACGAGGAGAAGACGAGGGCCUCAGAUGGGAUCGGGGCUGUGUGUGGGAGUGGGAGGGGUAUUUCGGUACAAGAAUUUUGGCUCCUCACCUCAACCAUCAAACCCUAACAGAUUGGCCUAACAGAUGUAACGGGAGGACCAUAGAAAGGAAUGAAAAUAAAAAAGAGGCCACAGAAGGGCUCUUGGUUUUUCAGGGCCACGGAAGGAAACGUUAUUUGCUUCAGGGCCUUCCAACGAAUUUUCCCUUAUUCCAAACGGGGCCUGAGAGGAGCUGGAAGAGGGAGGAGAAGAAAAAAAAAAACCAGCUCACGCGGCUCCUCCACCACGCCUACCAUCUUUUUGCCCCGGGCUCCGCCUUCUCGCGCGUGGCACCAGCCUCUUCGCGCGCUCUGCCUUGCGAGCCCUUGCGCCUGCAGGUGGCGAACGGGUGCGGGAGGCUAAGCGGCGGCCGGCCGGCGGUGGGAACCCGAGGCGGGGCGGGCGGGUGCAGGAGGCCGGGUGGCUGCGGGAGCAGCAGCCGCGGGGGGCUGGAGGUGGCUGCGGGAGCCCAUGGCGCUGCGGGCCACGGGAGGAGGCCAAGCUGGAGGUGGCGGCGGGAGCCCAUGAUGCUACGGGCCACAGCGGGAGGCCGGGCGGCGACAGGAGCAGGCGGUCGGUCGAUGACGGGAGCAGCGGCGCUUGGAGCUAGAGGGGGGAGGGAUAAGGAGGAUGGAGAAUGGGAAGAAAAGGUAAAAAGAAAAGAAAUAUAAAAAAAGAAAAUAUAAGGGCAAUAUGAAUAUUUCAUCAUUUUAAAUAACUAGAGAAGCUAUUUUACCGAAUGUUUUUACAACCAGAUAAUCUGUAGCUAAAAAAACUGCUCCACCGGAGAAGGAGAAGCCGGAGCUAUUUUUGGACAUGAUCAAACGGGGCUGGAUGGAGACUUAAGACUUAAAGAGGGAGUGAGAGACAGACUGACGGUAAUCGAGUUCCAGCUGCAAACAAACCAAACUGCAAUCGAGCUCCUUUGACCUCCCAUCUGGACCGGACCGGACCUUCUUUUCAUCUUCUUGGCAAGUGAUUUGCCUGGAAAGGGCUCGUCUCGAAAGGUAUCGCCUUGCUUCUUAAUCGGAUCCAAUUCCAAAUCGGCCAUUCAGUCCAGCAAGCAAUUCGACGCCUUGCGUACUUGUCCAUUCGAUUGCUGUUAAUCCCUGCUCUGCCCUUUUAUUUUAGCAUCUUGGGAGCCAUUCAGUUCAUUCAAUCCACCGGACAGCAAUGGGAUUUGUCGAGGAGAGCAAGAGAUCCCUGACGGUUGCCCCCUUUGAGUGCGCCUGGGGCGAGGAGCUUCGCUUCGGGAAGCCUGGCCGUGGCUGCGUCGCCUUCGAGGCAUCGGCGCAGAACGACGUCACCCUGGUGUUCCGCCAGCAGCCUGGGAGCCAGCACUACCACUACAAAAUGGACAGCAGCCGCCACUACACUGUCAUCUUGGGCAGCCACAGGAACAAACGGCUCAGGAUCGAGGUGGAUGGAAGCACCGUUGUUGAUGUUGUUGCCCUCGGCCUGUGCUGCUCCUCCUCCUUCCAGGCCUACUGGAUCAGCAUCUACGACGGCUUAAUCAGCAUCGGCCGAGGAAGGCAUCCCAACACCAAUCUCCUGUUCCAGUGGCUCGAUCCCGAUCCCAACCCAAAUGUUCAGUACGUCGGCCUAUCCAGCUGGGACAAGCACGUAGGGUACAGGAACAUAAGCAUUCUCCCAUCAGCUCCCCAAAACAGCAUACUUUGGAGCCACUACGUUCAUUCGGAGCAAAGGUUAUGCUGUGGGAAACGAGCCACAAGAGAUGACUCUGAAUCUGACCAAAGGCUACUUGCAGACUUUCUGGAGAGUUGGGACUUCUCUGAUGCAAUAUUUGUGGUUGGCACUGAAAGAAAGGUUGUUCCUGCACACAAAGUUGUCCUCUGUGCUUCUGGAGAUUUUCCUUUUGAACUAGUGGAUGGAGCUACCAUUGAACUUCCAUCAGUAUCCUACCCAGUUCUCCACUCCCUUCUUGAGUAUAUCUACACAGGUUCCACACAGGUAAGCUGCUUUGACCUGCUAUGUCUGCUCUUUCUCAAAAUCGACCAAGUCUGGAAACUGAAAGGCAUUCAUUUUGUUGUCUGUUCAGAUUGCUGAAUGGCUACUAAGUUCUCUGCUCGAGUUGAGCUCGCAUUUUAAAGUCAAACCAUUGGUGAAGUGUUGUGAAGAAAUCAUCAUCUCUUUGGAAGUGGAUAAGAAUUUUUCUGCAUCUGGCAAACUCUUAAAAUUAUCAAGUAGCGGAUUUCAAGAUCACAAAUUUGGUUCAUCCCCUCUCAAAGGCCCAAUUAAUUCACAGAAAAUUGGACAGUUCCUUGCAAAUGGCAAAUAUAGUGAUAUAAAUAUCUAUGUUAAUGGACAUGGUCUUGUUGCCAAGGGUCACAAGCUUAUCCUUAGCCUGUGGAGCAUGCCGCUUGCCAAGGUAGACUCGUUUUCCUUUUUUACUUCCUGCGUCAGAUUCAAAUCUCGGGGUCAUUAAGUGCUAUGCAUCAUGCAUAUAUUUGCAUAAAUAAAGUAUGAGCACAAACAUGCAGAUGUUCACAAACGGGAUGAAGGAAAGUAGUGCCUCCGAUGUCUUUUUCAAAGAUGUUCCUCCUGAAGCAUUCUUUCUCCUCCUUCAGUUUAUGUACCACGGGGAGCUUAAGGUGGAUACCCAGGAUAUUACAUCAGUGUUGGUGCAGCUGCUUCUAUUAUCAGAUCAGUUCGCCAUCACUGUUCUUCAGUUUGAAUGCUGUAAACAAAUAAUGGAAUGCCUUUCAGAGGUACCUAUGUUUUCUUCCAAUAGAAACUACACCAAGAAAACUUGCUGGUACAACUUAGUGGAACUAAAGACUGCUUAUAAUGAGUAAUUCAUUUUCACCAGUUUGUAUAGCUGUGUUGUUCUUAAAAAGGCACUUGUGACACUUCAUUCUGCAUGCAUUGUCAUCCGCAUAUUGAGAAAGUAAAAUUUUAUUUUUAUGCAAUAUCUCAUGUCUUUAUACUUCUGCUACAGUUUCAGGCCUUUCUAUUGUCCGUUUUGCAAUUAGUAAAAGCUAUAUCUUGGCUACUCAAGACUUGCAGUGGCAUGUGGUAGUCGUGACAAUAUGUAGUGGGGCCAUUAGUCUCAGAAAUAAAGUAUAUGAGAUAUUAAUACAUUCCACAUGCGUUAUACAUGCAGGGCUCGCGUGUCCUACUGGAAGAAGCUCAUCCAACAAGACUAGUUUCUAGUUUUAUUCCAAAUUUAAGGGAAAUGGCUUCUGCAAAUUUGGGUGAACUUGUAGCUGGUUCAGUGUAGACUGACCCCUGAAAGUUCUUGCAGGACACAGUAUGUUCAGUCUUACAGGCGGUUUCAUCAAUCCCAUCUUGUAAACUGCUUGAGGAAGUUUGCAAGAGGAAUUUUGCAACGCACUUUGACUAUUGCACAACUGCUUGCACGGACUUUGUUUUGUUAGAUGAGGCAACGUUUAAGGAUAUUCUUCAGGCAAGUAAUAUAACUGUUUUUGGUACAUUUUUUUGAGGAGAACUGUUUUUGGUACAUCAUCCUACUGCACUCACUAAAUACAUUGGUGUCCUUGAGACAUAGAUUAAGAUGUUUAUCACGAUUCAGCAUUACCAGAUAAUCAAGAUGUUAGUGGUCUAAUGCUAAAUGCCAUGUGUAAUAUCUUGAAGCUAUAGUAGAUUGCCAGGAGCCGCCUCACAUAAGCUUGGCAAUUUUAUGAGAAAAGAAACUUAUGGUUUUGUAGUUGUAUCCACUGAAGCCCUUCACUUUUAUCAGUUCUGUUGUUGCAUUUUCCUGACAAACAAAUGUGACUUUCUUAGUUUGUGGCUUUAGCCCUUGGUAACCUUUUCUGGUCGCAAGGCUUGCCAAUUAAUUAUGCUGAUAUCUCCUUAUUAAUAAUUGUAUAUAUCUUCAUGCGUACUCUGUUAAUGAACCUGUACAUUCAUUAAACGUCAGGGAAAAAGGAAUUAUGAGUUUGGAUAGGAAUGGAAGUAAAAUUUGCUCUCCAGUUCUUUUGGUUCGGACAUGGUUAAGAUUUUCUGGUUUAUAUAUUAUCAUUUCAGUUAUUAUUUUACAUAAAUAAAUGAAUCUGUGUUGAACUACAGCCUAAGUGUGGGAAGAUGUACUUGCAAAGAGGAUGCACACCAUUUGUAAAACACUGAAACUAGUGGUGAGGCAUUUCUUUUGGCAUUGGUCAUACUAGUAGUAAUUUUGCAGCAUGGCGAUAUGACGGUAACAUUGGAAGAGAGGGUUCUGGAUGCCAUCUUAACAUGGUGCAUGGGGACUUGUGAAACUUUUUACUGGACUUCAGUAGAUAAGCUCUUGAGAACUUCAACACCUGAGCAACUCUUUGGAAAGAGGCUUUCCGCCGUCGGUACUUUACUGCCAUUUGUGAGGUUCCCUUUGAUGCAGCUGCCAAUGCUAAAGAGGGUACGUGUUGCUUUUUGUGUUAUACCUGAAACAACUUGUGCUGAAUAAUUUGUAUGGAUUCUUAUAGCGCUUGCUGCUUCUCUGCAGAUGGAGAGAAGUAAUCUGGCGAACCGCAUACAAGCAUUCAGACAGCUGGUUAGUGUUGCUUGCUCCAGAGUUUAAUCUUUUCAGUUGGUGCAUGUUUCUGGACUGUAAGUGUACAACCUGAUUACUUGUUGGACCACAGGUUGCAGAAGCCAUCAAGUUCUCUCAUGCUGGACAAUGGACGCCUACGUCAUAUGAAUGGUGAGUAUGUGUUGACUUGAAUCGGACUGGAGUAAGGAUUGACAGUAUUGCUGACUGGUAUUUGUAUGUGAAACCUAAAUCUUUCAGUGAGAGAUUUCAGCACAGGCGCUCAAGCUAUAAAGAGCUCCAGUAUAUCUCUGAUGGUGAUAGCAAUGGUGUUAUCUACUAUGCCGGAACAUCAUUUGGAAAACAUCAAUGGAUGAAUCCUGUAUUAGCCAAGGUAGGGGGGGGGGGGGGGUGCUUGAGGUGAUUCAGUGCAGUAACUAAUAAGCCUGGUUUAUUCACUGAUGAGCAUCUAUCUAUUUCUGCAAUUAGAAUAUCACUGUGGUGGCAAGCAGCCCGAAUUCCAGGCACACGGAUCCAAAGGCUUUGGUUUCAAAGAAUUACCAGGUAUGAUGAUAUCAUUGGGAAUUAUGGCUGAUAAAUGGAGAACAAUAUUAAGCAUGAUAUGCAUGUGGCGACUCUAGGGGACAUGCUUUGCUGGGCCUUGUAUUGAAGAUGGAAAGAAGCUUUCUUGGUGGAUGGUAGACAUCGGGCAGGACCAUCAGGUUAGCUUCUGGGAUCUGUUGGUGCCUCAGUUGGCUUGCUUGCGUUGCUUGCUAAUACAAGACAUACAGUAGUGAAGUGACGAAUUGUUGUGCAGCUGAUGUGCAACUGCUACACGGUGAGACAGGAUGGCUCCACAACCUUCAUGAGGUCCUGGGUUCUUCAGGUACCUGCAGUACUUUCAAUUAUAUUCCUUGCGGAAUCUUGAAUGGAGAGAGAGGCUGAACUACAUAGUGAAGCUGAUGAGUCUGCAUCGCAGGGAUCCAUGGACGGCCGGAACUGGACGAGCCUCCGCGUCCACGACGGUGAUGCUACCAUUUGCCAUCCCGGGCAGUUCGCGUCGUGGCCCAUCGUUGGCCCGCCGGCCCUGCUGCCCUUCCGAUUCUUCAGGGUGGCCCUGACGGGCCCUGCCGCCGGCAGCGUCUCCAACGCUUGGAACCUCUGCAUUUGCUUCCUCGAGCUCUACGGCUACUUCCGUUAGAAGAGGACCGUGCCAUUUUUUUUAUUGGCUUUGUACUUACACCGUGUACAUAUAUAGCUCUGUACUGCUGGACAUACGGGCUUGCUUGAAUUUCGCUGUCUUCUUGUUGCAUAUCAAAAGAUGCUGUAUAUAUGCUUUUGUUUGAAGAUAAAUAUACUCGAGGGAAAACAUGCUGGCAGUGUUGAUCGAGCUUAUCAAAUGAAUAACAAAGAUUGUUUCCACGGUCGUUUUCUUUUUUGUUUCUCUAAAACAUAUGAUACAAAAGCAGACGCUCAGAUAUAUGUAUACUUAAAAUAAUUUUUUUUGAAAAAGUGUGGAAGAUAACAAUGAUCUUACCAAACCUUUCACUGAAGAGGAGGUGAAGAAAACUGUGUUUAGUAUGAAAGACAAUACAGCUCCUGGGCCUGAUGGUUUUGGAGUUACUUUCUACAAGAAAUGUUGGGAAACAAUCAAGGGGGAGCUGAUGGCAAUGGUUAACGACUUCUACCUGAGGAGGUUGGACAUAGCCAGGCUUAACUAUGGGGUGGUAACACUGAUUCCCAAGGUUCAUGAUGCCAAUAAUGUUAAGCAAUAUAGGCCAAUCUGUCUGCUAAAUGUCAGCUUUAAGAUAUUCACCAAGCUAAUCAUGGGGAGACUUACCAGGGUGGCAAAACAACUUAUCUCACCAAGUCAAACUGCUUUCAUUAAAGAUAGGUUUAUUCUGGAUGGAGCAGUUAUACUACAUGAAGUGAUCCAUGAACUGCACUCUAAGAUGUCUGGAGUGAUCUUGAAAAUAGAUUUCGAAAAAGCUUAUGAUAGUAUCAACUGGAACUUUGUGGAAGAAGUUAUGAUUAGGAAGGGCUUCUCUGAGACAUUGAGGGGGUGGAUCAUGGACACUGUCAAAGGGGGGAGGGUGUGUAUCAACAUCAAUGGCCAAAAUGGUCCCUACUUCAAGACACAUGGAGGCCUCAGGCAGGCUGUCCCCCCUGCUGUUCAACUUAGCAGUGGACGCUCUUGCACAUAUUAUGGACAAAGCAAAAGGCCGGGGGUUGGUAAAAGGGGUGGUGCCUCACUUGGUUCCUUGGGGAUUACCCAUUUGCAAUACGCAGAUGAUACAGUGGAUCUGACAGAGAAUUAGUUAAGAACAUGAAGUUCCUCUUAUACUGCUUUGAAUGGAUGUCAGGGCUGAAAAUUAACUAUCAUAAAAGUGAGAUCCUUGUUUUUGGAGCAGAAGAGGAGGAGAAACAUGUGCUGGCCAACAUGUUGAAUUGCAAGAUGGGUCAGAUGCCAAUGAAGUAUUUAGGCUUCCCAAUAAGUGACAGAUCCCUAGGAGCUGGGGCAUUCGGAAGCAUAGUGGAAAAGAUGAGGAAGAAACUGCAGCCAUGGAAAGGUAAACACCUAUCCUAUGGGGGGCGCCUUAUUCUGACAAACUCUUCCCUUAGCAGCAUGCCUACUUACAUGAUGGGAAUGUUCAAUAUUCCUGAAAUUAUACACAGCCAGAUGGACACAUCUGAAGCAGAUUCUUUUGGAGGGGGGAUUGUGAGAAGUUUAAAUAUCAUAUGGUAAAAUGGGAUAAUGUGUGUUUGCCCAAGGACUUUGGGGGUUUGGGAAUCACAAACACCAGGGCUUUAAAUGAAGCCUUGCUGGUUAAAUGGGUUUGGAGGUUCUACAAAGAGGAUGAGGGUGAUGCAUGCUGCCAGCUGUUAAGAGCAAAGUGCCUAAGGAAUAAACCUAUGCUGCUGUGCAAAGGGACUACUGGCUCACAGUUUUGGAGGGGUGUGAAUAAGAUCAAACAUUUGUUUAGUUGGGGGGCAACUUUCAAAGUAAAUAAUGGGAAAAACACCAGAUUUUGGGAAUAUGUAUGGCUAUUAGACGUUCCCUUGAGGCUGGCUUAUCCCAAGUUGUACGAAUACUGUAACAGCAAAAACUGCUUGGUCAGUGAUUGUUUCCGUGAAGGGGAAUGGGAGAUAUCCUUUAGAAGAUCUUUUAGAAACACUGAAGUAAGGCAAUGGGAGGGUCUGUUAUCACUGCUGGAGGAGGUUCAGCUGAACAAUAUCAGAGACUCGGUCUUAUGGGGGCUUGAAAAAUCUGGACAGUACACCACGCGAUCCAUGUAUAGGAUAGUGUCGCAUAGACAUAGAGGGGUGGUCAACAGCCGCAAUGAAAAAAGUGUGGAAGAGCAGGCUACCGUUGAAAUUGAAGGUGUUUGCUUGGCAGGCCUUCCAAGGGGUUGAGCUGAAAAAAAAAGAAAAUGGAAAGGAAGCAAAAACUGCAAUAUCUGUGGGUGUCCUGAAACUGGGGACCAUACUUUCUUCUCAUGCAUAGUUGCUAGAUUCGUUUGGACAUGCUUCAAAGAAGCCUUGGGGUGGGAUAGGAUUCCUAUAGGGAUGCAGGACUUCCUGGAGUGCUGGAUACCUCUGGGGUGCAGAGACUAUGGCCUUAAACUUUUCUUACUUACUAUUGUGAUGUGGUCGCUUUGGACGUCACGCAACAAAAAGAGCAAUUGAGGGGAGGUUCCCCCGAUGUCCCGCUGACCUACUGUUCAAAUCUAACAUGUUUUUGCAGAAAUGGAAGGUACUGUUGAGGGCUGAUGGCCUCGACAAACUAGAAGAAAUGACAACACAGAUAAGAAGCUGGGGGGAGUUGGAGGACGAUUUCAUCUGAUGUCUGUCUUUUGCGCCUUUUUUUUUCUGAUUAGCCCAGUUUGCAAAGGCCCAGCAAACCUAUGUAUCCAAACUCUUAUUCGCUUUCUAUAAAAGCUGGGUGAACCCUGUUUCAAAAAAGGAAAAUGAAAAUUAUACUGUGACGUACGGCGCAUGAUUAUCUUGCUACAGGUUAUCAGCUGCAGAGACGGCGUCAUAUCUUGGCUACUUCCGAUUGUUGCUUCUGUGGCGCGCAGAACUGAAAGAAUGGAACACUGCUUUGUUAUGUGCUAGUUUGUUGCUUCUGGAAAGGAGUGAAAAGUCAGGUUGAUAUACAUCUUGGUAGAAGAUACAUAAUAAAUACAAACCAGUGGAUGUUUGAUCUGUUGGAUAGAUGUAACGAAAUACAAGCAGGAGUGGUUGCUGUAGUGCGUUGGCAUACUUAUUAGCAUCAAUGUUGAUGCAACAAUCUUUACCUCUUCUUCUAGUUUGGCCUUUGAGUUGGUGUUUCUAAGGGUACAUGACUAUUAGUUUAUCGUAUGUCAUUCAAUGGCAUCACCUUACCUGAAGUUGCAGGCUCUUGUUCUACACACUCGCUCGAAGAAGGUUUCCAUAGUGUGUUGGCAUAUUUGGGAAGUCCGAAAUGAAGUGAGAAAUUCUGAUGCUAAAGCUUGCUCGACAACAGCAGUUAAGAAAGUGUGGUUGCUUAUGUGGAGAUGAUUGUUAUACAUUGUUUGAAACCAAGUUGCUUAAUUUGGUUUGUUAAUGUUGAUGCAACAAUCUUUGCCUCUUCUUCGAGUUUGGCUAUUAAGGUGGCGUUUCGAAAUUAUAUGGGUGCACGUCUAUUGGCUUAUCAUAAGUCACGCAAUGGCAUCAGCUCAUCUGAAAUUGCAGAGGCUCUUGCUCUACGAUAUGUUGUUGUUCUUGCGCUCGAAGAAAGUUUCCAUAGUAUGGUUUUGCAAUCUGAUUGCUUGGCCUUAAUUCUGAAGACAAAUGCACCUGUCACUGCUGUUAGAUAUAGAACUACAGCGGGCUUUAAAUAGCUGAUAUUAGAUCGCUGGUCUGGAGUUUUCUUUGGUUCAUGAAAGUUAUUAUUGUGCUAAUGAGGUAGGCUCGAUCGGGUAAGCUUAUUCGGUCUUUCGAUCCUAAUUGCAUCCAAAAAAUUUUGUAAACCUUUUAGCUUAUAAUAAUCCAUAUGCAGUUUUCAAUAAUAUAAUUAUUUAGUUAAACAGAAAAAAAAGUAUCAGAAGGUAGGCGAUGCCGAAUUCAAUUGCCGAUGAUAUAUAUAUGCUGAAGCAAUAUAAUAGCAUGCAUACAAAGCAUGCAUGGAACUUGGUACAAGAUGGAUGGAUCAUAUCGAGAUGACUCUGAUGAUCUAUCGAUAGCAGUACAGACGUAGAUAGAUAGAUAUAUAUAUAUCAGUUGACGGUGACCUUGCCGACCAUUCCGGCUCCUUGGUGCGGCUCGCAGUAGAAUCCGUAGGUUCCCGGCACGGUGAGCGUGACGGAGUAGGUCUCUCCCGGCGCGUUGAGGUACUCCUCCUGCGAGAUCUUGGCGGCGUCGACACCGCUGGGCACCUCGUCCUCGUCGAAGACGACGUUGUGUGGGUACCCGGCGUUGUUCUUGAAGGUGAUUGCCUCGCCGGCCUUGACGGUGAACUCGCUGGGCUCGAAGACGAGGACGCCUCCGGUGGCGCCCAGCAGCACCUCCUGGGCCAUGGCGCCGCCGGCGAGCAGGGCGCUGGCGGCCACGGCCACGGCGGCGGUGCCGGCGGCCUUGCCGAGCGAGGCGCGCACGGUGAAAGCAGCAGCAGAGCGCCUGCUGGCAACGGCGCGGGCUGGCCUGGCAGCCGCGAAGGAAGGGGCGGUGACGGCGGCAGAGGAGAGGGAGGCCAUUGUUAAGUUGGUGGUAGACUCACUAGACCGAGCAAAUAAAGCUGCAACUGCAACUGCAAAGCAAGAGAGAGAGAGAGAGAGAGAGAGAGAGAGAGAGAGCGCGAGCGAGCAAGCUAUAGCCUAUAGCUAGCCAGGCCCCGGCAGGUGGAGAGGAGGGAGAAAUAGGAGGAGGUGGCAGGGGAGGAUGAGGCAACGGGUGGCCAGGGAGAAAUCCUUAUCCCGGCGAUCCUUAUGGCCGUGCUUGCGUUGCAUGCCCACGGAUAGAUAGACC